This 44934-nucleotide long non-coding RNA is filed under the name Marmota monax (woodchuck). Lineage: Eukaryota; Metazoa; Chordata; Mammalia; Rodentia; Sciuridae. The record is from RNAcentral.
CGUAGGCAUAGGAGAAUGAAACUUCUGUACAUUUUAAUCUGAAUAAUUCUUCAGGAUUUAAAAUUAAUUGGCUCUGGCUUGGUUGGGCUGUACUCGGAUCUCGCCGCCUCUGCAUUUCCCGAGUCACUGGUGAAGAGGUGAUGAUUUUUUUUUUUUUUGAACUGGGUUUAUGUGCGUCCCCCUCACCCCCUCCUCUCUCUCUCUCUCUUUUUUUCUUUCUCUGUCUCUGUCGUCUCUCUCGCUGCCUUUUUAAAAAUGAGGAACCAUUCUCUGAACGUUUUGGACAGAGCACAGAAUUGCUUCUUAAGUCUGCCCAGCGCGGUUGCAAUAGACAGCAAAAAGGUAAACGUUUGCCUGAAAUCCGCACGUCAGCUCCACCACCCCGCCCGAUGGUGAGUACCCUUCUCCUUGCGAUUCUCCUCUUAGCUUAACCGAGCGCUCGCCUUCCCGAACCGCGGCCGAGGGCGAUCCGCAGGGUUUUCCUCCCUCCUUCCCUGCCUGCCUGGCUGUCAGUAGCACAAGGUUGCAAAAUGAAGCGCAGAAGCAAAUCGAACAGUAAAUUCUGAUACUUGGUGCGAGCCUAGCAGCUCCUUUGAUAGAAAACCGAGUCGUCUGCUGCUUGGAAAACCAGGCUCAUAGGACCGGUUUUCAGUUUGCUCUAUAGAAAGAAAUGAGUUUGAGAAGACAGGACAAGGAGAUGGAAGGCACCGCAGUCUUUAUGCUUUGGUUUAAUCAUAUUUUGGCAGCUUUGCGAUUGUAUUUUCCCCCUCUCCUCCUUCCAUCACUUCUACCACACACAUGUAAUAAAAUAUGGCAAUGCACUGAAUUGACUCUGUUCCCCCUUCCCCAAACCCCUUAAACCACAGUCCUAGGCAUUUCACACACAUUAGCAAACCGAUUUUCUGAAAAGCCCCAAGUCAUCCCCAACCCCACACAGCACAAGGAGAAAAGACAGAAAGAGGAAAAAAAUACUGUAAGUAAACAUACCAAAACCAUAUUUGCCUUGUUCAAGGUCCCAAACCGCUUGCAUCUUCCUUCUAAACUGGAAUAACUCUCCUUUAGUUUGGCGGGUGAAAUAAACGCUUUGUUGGCCCUCUGAAAAGAUGUGUCUUUGAUAAUUAAAGAGAAUCUCCUCCUCGGUGUUUAUCUAAGCGAUUGUGCAAACUGAUAAAAAGUAGGCACUAGCCUGCAGGGAAAAAGAGGAAAGGUGAAGGGAGAGAUCUUCCACCUCAAGGAAGUGCUUCCCCAUGUAUUAGGCGCUCCCAGCCUUGGAAAACCCUGCACACUAACUUUAGAGAGACAAGGUUUCAGGGAGCUUUGUACAUAACUGCUGAGGAAUGCAAGCCUCGCCUUUAAGAAAAAAACCCCCAAACCGUAGGUAGGAGAUGUCUGGAGUGAUCCUUGUCUCUCAUCUCAUUCCUUAGAAGGAAGAGUGCGUUGUUACACCUUGUUUGGGGCUGGAAAGACGAGACUUUAAAAACACCCGUCCAAUUGAAAAAAAUCUCCCAACUUAAUGAGUUUAGUCGGAGGCUGGAGCAAAUGGCUCAGUCUUAGCAGAAAACCGCCAACAACUCUAGGCGAUAUUGCAAAGCAAGACGACCGGAGGCACAGCCAAAAUUCCACUGUUUGGGGUCGAGAGGGAUGGAGGCUAAUCCUAAAGCAAGUUGGGAAAAAAAUAGAGGUGGGAGAGGAGGGGGAAAAAGCAGCAGCCUCGGAGACUGGCAGACAGGCUCCUCUCACCCUGGAUCAAAGAUAGAACUUGAAACAGGAGGGCAAUAUUUUCCUAGGAAUCUGCUGGAAUCCUCAUUUUCUACUUCUAACUCAAGUCCCCCCAAGUGAUUUUUCCCUCUCCCCUGUGGAUCAGUGCCUCCCUCCCCUUUCUGGUGCCCAUUCUAGAACUUUCCUGAAGAGGAAAUGAUUUCUUUUUGGGGGGAGGGGUUCCCCAUUUCAUGCCUUAGUAUAAUGAAUGCUUAAUUCACCCCUCCCUUCAUCACUCCCCAAGAUGAAUAAAGGAAGCAGGAAUACAAUAACUAGCAAAAAUUUAGGAUAAACUAUGCUGCCUCUUGCUGUUUAAUACAGUUUUAACUAAUGGAUUUUUUGUUUUGUUUUGUUUUAAGAGAAGAAUAAUGGGGAAACACGGAUCUUUUAUUUUAGGAAACUGUUAUGGUAAGAUGUAUGUCAGACUUGACAAAUGGAACUAACGCUCUUGGGCUGCUUCUUGUCCUUGUCUUAAACAGGAAUUAAGUUAAACACAGUGCUGAAUGUUAAUUACAUGUUUACUGGCUAAUGAAAAUUACAAAUGGUUUUGCCACCUCAAACAAUGAUGAAAACUCUGAAGACACUGUAAUUAUAUACUUUGAGGGAAAUAACUCAGAAUAUUGAUCAUAAGAAGUGUAAAUCUUUUUAAAACUAUUCAUUAAUACCAUAAAUAUGGGCUACAGAAGUUUUUUCCUUGCGGUUUGUCUCAUCAGUUAUACUGAGUGGAUGGAUGGUAAGGUUCCUCUGGGGAGGUGGUGAACUCGUUCUCUUACUAGAAGGAGGCCACUUGUGUAACUCAGGGGUGCCCCCUCCCUUUCGUCCUGCCCCCUUCAACCCUAGUUGAAGGUCGCAGGAUCUUUGAAACUGAGGCCCGGCCCAGGGCAGGUGAAGGUGAUCACAGUCGGGCCUCUUCCCUCUCCUGCACUCUUCUUUCUUCUCCCCUCUCCCCCCUCCUUUUUUUUGCCAGGUCUGAUCGAUGACUGCCUUCCCCAGCCUGGGUGCCUGUGGGAUAAUCUGGCAUUCCGGUUUCCUAAUGGAAGAACAAUUAGACCAGGCAACUCACCACAACCUAGAGAUGCAUCCCUGACAACUUAAAGUUCUCUCCUUCAGAGGUGGUUAGGUCAGGUCACUGCAAAUGAAGAAGAAGGAAAAAAAAAUGGGUAUGGAGGUGGCUAUUGGGUAAGGUAGGUCAGGCUGCUGAAGCAGAACUGGUUUCCCUGGGUUUAGGAGUGAUAUUUUUUGUUGUCAUUUUGCUUUAACUUUGGCCAGAGUUGUAGCACUGGUGGCCACUCUAGUCUUGGUGGGGGGGUCAAAGGUGAAGCCUGCACUAACCCUAAAAGGCUGGCAGGGCUGGUCAGAAGGCCAAGCCGGUUGGGGAAUCAAGAUUGUUAGCCUGACUAGCUCUUCAGAGGGGGUGUCUGUGAAACUAGCAUGCAGGGAGCACAGCACAGAGUCCAGGUUUAAAGUGGAAUAUUGAAGAAUUUUUAAAUAGAGCCCUAGGCUUAUGGGACUGGAGUCUUCUUUUCCCCUGAGAAUUCCCAAGGCACUGGUCUUUGUCUUAGAAGGAAUGGAGUUUCUGAAUGGUGUGAAAGGGACAGAGAGGGUCGCUUCAAAUCGAUUUUACUUGUCCUUUCUGUCUUUUCGGAUCAACGCCCUUCAAUGGACACAGAGGUGCUCUUUCAACCAAAAACUUGUGCUACAUUUUCUGCCUGUAUUGGUGCUAAAUACAAUAAGCACUGGGCAGAUUUUUUUCUUUGCUCUCCAAAGCAGGAAAGCACCCUAAUUAAAUUGUUUUAUAUGGACAGUCAAGACCGACCAAUUAAGUAUGCAUUAGUAUGAAGAUAUAGUCUACAGAUAAGGCGGUUUAGAAAACCAUGUGUAGGACAAAGAAGAGGGCGCUAGUGCUUGGGAGGGGUGUGUGGACACAGCAAGGUCGAGCCCCUUCCUUUUGGGCCCCAGGGGAAUUGCAAAGGUCCAGGUUCCAGGUGAGGGGGGCAGGCCGGCUAACAGGUGGGCACCAGUGCCUCCACUCCAGGAACUGUGGAGCAUGAGGGGUUUGUCUUCUUCACAUACUACUUUGGUAAGGUAUCAGCACUCCGAGAGUAGAGGUGGUGGGUCCUCUUGGACACGGUGAGACCUUGCGGUACCCCACUCCAGGUCUGGCCCAUUUCCUGGUGUCCCAGGUCCAGGGUGUGGCUCGGGAAUAAUGACUAGGGCCAAGGAAACAUUGGCACUGCCAUAGCCAUGCAGCAACCCUUUGGCAGCCAAGAUCGGGAAGGAGGUCCCCUCUCAAUACCUCCAAGCUGAGGGUUUCUUUCCUUCUAAGGAAAGUGAAGUAUUUCAGACAGGAAAGUAAAGUUUCCAACCGACGCCACGCGGCCCGAGGGGCGUCGAGGACCAGACGAUGGAGUUGGGGAAAGGUCUCGCGAAAGGGUAGCGAAAAAAGGGGCUCCUGUUCAGCAAAUGUUGCUGUGGGUUUCUCCACUUGCUCUCGGCUCUCUGAGGGGUGGGCGGGCCGAGAGCGUCUUUCCGCGAAGAAGCCGACUCUGGUAGCAGAGGCUGGGGCCUCUCUGCUUCGCGGGGCAGGGCUGUGUUAGGUGGUCCCCAAGCCGCAAGGGCGCGAACGCGGCGCACUGCUUUAGGAAAGGUUCGCAGGGCGCUCAGCGCCCUUGAUAGCGGGAAGAGAGGGGAGGGGGCGAGAAUUAGAGUCUGGGGAAGUGGCUGAAUGUCAAAAGUAAAAAGGUUGAAAAGCCAAUUUUCCAGGCGCGCUUUGUCCCCCCCCCCCCCCCCCCCCCGCCCCCGUGUGGGUUGCACAGGCUGUAAAUCAGCGGCUGGUAGCAGGGGCGGGAGGAGCCCCAUCCGAGGGCUUGGCGCUGCCCCGCCCGGACCGUGCACACCUCCCGGUGGGCCCGGAAUCGAUCCAAAGCCUAGCUGAGGAUGUCACCGCACUAAAUAUUUACUGAUCACACACAAAUAGCCGGGGCUCGAACGAUUUUCCUCUGUGAGGAGAGCGCGGAGAGAAGGGUAAAUCAUUUUAUUAGUGUGGAUAAAGCCCAGAGCACACUCCGGGCUGGAGUGUUUUAAGAUGUGUCUUCAACGGGAUGAAAAGAGUUAGGGAAAUCGAUACGGAGUGAUUAGAAGCCCCCGGGGUGACGAAGGGGGACGGGGCUGGAAGGGGGGUUGUAAGUCUCAAGGGGGGCGGCCUGACCACCGCCAGGGAGCUCCUGGGCGCAGGCCUCGGUCCUCUCAUCGACGGGAGAUGCGAGGGCGCAGCAAGCGGCAGGAACCCGCAGCCACCCGGCUUCGCAGGGCAGGCACCGUGGGAGGGCUGCUGGGCCGCCGCAGGGCCGAGUGCUUGGGAGCCUUGGACUCCACGCCUCCAGUGGCGGUAGCCAGGUGGAAGCCUAGGCGGGCGUGACGCAGGGACGCGGGCACAUUUCGCCACACGCGCUGUCUCCAGGCAGCCUGGGGUUGCAAAGGUGUAGCCCCAAAGAGUUGCUUUCUCCCCCUGGCAUUUUUUGGGUUCCUCCCAGCUUGACCCGAGACUUUCCGAACUUUCUCUUUGGUAAAUCUCUGCCUCUCAUCUCCUUUAGUAUUUCUAAAGAGGAUUCAGUGGCUCAGUCCCCAAUAACUGCUUUUCCACCCACCCACCCGGAGAAUACCCGCCGGUGGCGGAACCCGUUGGGGACUGCAGGACGAGUGGAUUUCAGGUUCAUCGGCCGUGGGCAGGUGGGACGGACGAAGUCUGAGGCCCGGAAAGAAAUCAGGAGGCAGGGUGACACACAUCAAUGAAGCCCCAGGAUGGCUCCUUCUCUCCCGGGCAGGAAACUAGCUUUUGCGGGUUCAAGGCCACACCCCAAGGGAUGGGAAGCCGUCUUGGGCCCCAAGGCUGAGUGCAACUAGCCAAAGUGGUGGAGAUGUAAAGGCUUACAGAACUCGCAGUAAGCUUUGGUAGUGGGGGCCAGAUUUCCUGGAAGGGAGAGAAAACCCUUUCCUCCCAAACUCAAGCAGCAGAGUCCUGGCGCGAAAAUGGCUUUUCACUUUUUGAAGCGCUAGUCUUUCGGGCUACUGUGAACAAAUCUUGAGGUUCGAGAAACAGCUGCAAAUAAUCAAGAAAGCACUAAUUUCUCGAGCGGAAGGCGGGGAAAGAGGAGAAUAAUUUUCGUUUCUUCUUUUCGCGCUCCUAAUGUUUUCCCCAAAAUACAUUUUCCCUGAAGAAAUUGAUAGCUACCUGUAUGUAUGUACGUGUGAAUGUAUUGAGAAACGUUCAUCACCCACCCCAUUGCUUUAUUUUCUUGGCAGCUUGAAGGAUUCAGUUCAGAUUGCCCUGCUUGGCUCUUCAGUGCAACAGGAAAUAGAGCUGCAGAUCCAAUUAACCGUUUUCCAGAAAGGAGAUAUAUAUAUAUAUAUAUAUAUAUAUAUAUAUAUAUAUAUAUAUAUAUAUAUAUAUAUGAAUCCCAAUGGAUUGGAGUGUUGUGUUCAGGUGUGAGGUGUGAGGUGCCUCGAAUUCCUUCCUCAGUAAUCCUCUGAUUUCUGCUUUGGAAGCUCGCAAUCACCGCUGACCUGGAGUGGUGUCAGGAGCCCGGUCUCCAUUAACCCUUUUUGGUCUUGGCCAGAGUGAAGGUUAACUACACUAAGCAACCAAAAGGAGUUGUAGAAAAAGGAAGCAAGCAAGGGAGUAAGGGAAGAAAGAAGGGAGAAAAAUAAGGAGCGAUGGAAAAUAGGAAAGAAGGAAGGAUAAAUACACUCUAGUUGCAAUAAUUUUAGAGCUAUAGUACUUCACUGCUCCUCCCCCACCUCCACCCUUCUAAGUCAACCGGGUUCCCACUGGAAAGAGACAACAGUCUCAUCCAUCAACACAGUAUACUCCAUGAAAACUGAACUUUAGGGAAUAAGAAGAUAGAAUGUAGUGAAAUAUUUCCUCUAUUUAACUGAAUACCCAGUUCACUUUAAAUAUAUGACUAAUAUGUAUGUAACUGAUUAUUGUGUGAAGGAAUUUUAAAAACAAACAAAACAAAAACCCAACAUAUAGUUUACUUUCUUUCAUCAAAGUAAAAGCUAAUUUAGAAUCUUGUCAGUAGCCAAAUUACAGCCAUAAAAUCUAGAUGAGAUUAGAAAAAUAUAUUCUGCUGGCUUCAAACCUGGUGGCACUUUAAUGGGUUGUAAUAUGAUAGUCAUGUGCAUGAGGUGUACACACUUAGGUGCAUAUAUAUUCUUGUGGUAUUAGAAGUUCCUUGAUGGAUUAAAGGUUCAUAUACUCAAACACUAGAUAGAGGCUGUCACUCCUGUACAUUCUGGGAGUCUAGCAGAAGGUAGUGCAACAGAGUUUUGAAUGAGCUUCUUGGAAUCACUAUUGUUGAAAUAGAAGCUGAAACAACUUAGUAAAACUAUUGUGGCUUGCAAAAUCAUAGAAAGGCACUUCAAAGUAAAAACACCAGAUUUACAGUUUGGUAGCUUUGGCAGGACAUUUAAACAAAAGUUAAGCAUCUUUUGCCUAAUAUAUUGAUUUUAAAAAUCAGGUGUAUGCUACUCUUUUUAAAAAACUUUUCAAUGGAUUACACAAUUAAAGGAGAAGAGGUUAGAGAUGAUGACACUUGGGGGGGCUUUGCCUAUUUGACCAUGUCUGAUAUGGGAUAUAUAUAUAUAUAUGCUUUUAAUAUUAAUAUUAUAUUCUAAGACAACUCCUUCUGAUAAAGUUCUAAAAACAUUUAAAGCUAUGUGGAUAUCAUCAUAAAGGGGCAGAGUAAGAAAUGAUGGUCUGAGUCUAUAUUUUUCACGAGCCUGCUAAUGAAAUAUUUAAAAUGACAGUUGAUUUUUGGCAUCCCCCCCCCAAAAAAAAAGUAUUAGUCAAAUGGUAUCAAAGGCCAUUCACUUAAAUGUGAAGGUGCUAGGCACAUAUCCAGAUAAAUUAAUAUUGUUAAUUAGCUGCAUCAGUGUACUUCAAGAAAAUACAAGCAGAAUAACAAAUAGGGAUUUAUUUCAUUGACUUUCUUUUAACCACAAUUUCAAAGUGAAUUUCAAAAGAAGAAAUAUGAUUUAAGAAGUAAUUCCUUCUCGGUUGUUUUUUGGAUUUAUUUUAAAAUAAAAGAGACAGUUUCAGUAUAAAGCAUAUAACUUGAAAAUAAGAUGACCAGGGACAGACAUACACAUGAUAUGGAUAGACACGCAAUAAAAAAACAUUGUGCAUGAAUUUAGAAAACAUUUAAUUAAUUACAUUACCAACCUCAUUUCUCUUCUUAGAAAGCGUGAUUUCUUGAAAUGCUGAAAGUACAUCUUAAAAAUUAAAAAAAAAAAACUGCAAAAUUAAGUGAAAGUUUUUUAACAUCAUGUUCAAUUUCUUGGCCAUAGGAAAUAUUAACUUGAGAGUUUACAAAGUGUAUUGUUUGAAGAAAAUUUACAUUGGACUUUUUAUUUUCAACACAGAGUAUUAUCUAUUAUAAUUUACUGUAAAUUAAUAAAUCUUUUUCAAGAGAUUUCUGUGUACCUGACUAUGGCAAAUUGAUUGAGAUGAUGUCACUUUAAGUGAUUAAAGCAAAACUGAAAUCAUUACAGGAGGGAAAUAUUGACUUCAGUGACAAAUGUCACAUAGGGUAUUUCUUGACAAGAUCACAGGAUAUCACAUGUCAAAGAAAAGUUAAAAUAUUAGGGGACCCUAAUUCUUUGCAGAAUGUAUGUUAAUAACUUAUUUACUUAUUCCCAGUGAUAUGUUGUGGUUUUCCAUUUUACAUACACUUUGUUGCCACAUGACAAACUAAUUAAAAGUAUUGUGAAAUAUAAGCAGUAAGGGGUUUAAAAGUAUUUUUUCUUCAUGACCUCUUGAAUGAUAAAAACUUAUAUACUCAUUGAUUUUUUUUCUUGUGAUUUUGGUUAAUUCAAUGGCUCUUGAAGUCAUGUAUUAUGUUGCAAAAGUCUGCACUGUGUAUAAAUUGAAAAUAACUUUGAAGGCAUCAGCUUUUUUUAAGGAAGUGCAAUUGAAUGUUCAGUUACUGAAGAGCUACUAUUUAAAUCCCAAGUUAUAUUGAAAACAAACAUCGAAACCUGUUCUUCUUUCCUAACAAAUCUUAAAAUUGUAAUUGGCAUGACUGUGGAUGAAUAUCUAAUAUAAGAGCCUUUAACUCUCUUUUCCUAUUUACCCUGGAAAUGUCUUUAAUUUGUCUUCUAAGCUUAUGUAAUUUAAAAAGCAUUAGUUAGUGUACAAGAAUUAUCCACCCUCAGUGAAAAAAAAAAUUUCACCCUCAGUGAAAAAAAAUUCUAAUCAUAGAAAAGAGGUGUGAUGUUUAUUCUGAAGUUUUGGUAACAUACAAAGUUUUCUUAGUAAACUAGAAAAAACUAUCCCUGACAAAAUAUAAUAGGGCAGCUGUUAGGUAUGGUUUUUUAUUCAUAUCUUCCUGCCCUGUUGCCACUGGUACUGUGGUGUUUGAAUUUUUGUCUUCAUCCACUGUCUAUUGUUAACAGUGAAUUUUUGAAAUAUACAAAAAAAAUCCAAAUUGUAUUGCUUCUAUAGCUGAAUACAUUAUUAAAUUAAAAAAUAAUAUUCACUUUUGUUUUCAAAGUUGUAUGUCCAGGCAAUAAUGAGGUGAGUUUGUGCAAAGUGCAUCACCCCUAACAAACAAAACAAAACCUUUGCAUCUAUCAGCUAAAGAGAAAAAAAAAAGUUCUCAGAAUUCAAAUAUAAAUGUGUUGUUUUUAUAAUUGAACUCUGGACAAGAUUUUAUUACAUAUCUACUAUCUACCAAGAUGAAACACACACACAAAUAUAUAUAUAUAUAUAUAUAUAUAUAUAUAUAUAUAUAUAUAUAUAUAAAAUUUAAAAAAUUUUAAAUCAAGUCCUAUCAACACAUGAUUGUAGGUUCUUUGAAGUAAAGGGAGAUCUGAAAAAUAAGCCUCCAAAAUAAAGAGAUAAGCAGCAGGGCAUUAUAGCUUACCUUAGUUUUUAGAGAUGUUACAAAAGUAAUCUUUUAAAAAUAACAAUAUCAUGCUUUUUCUUCAAGUACAAAAUGAGAUGAUAAUGGGAGAAAAAAGAAGAAGCUCCCCUCCAACUCUUUCCUACACAAACCCCCAAACAACCACAAACAAAACAAAAUAAAACCCAUCUCCUAAGUUCCCCAGAAAAAGCCCCUUACAACUUUGGAAAAGUUUUUGUAUAAGUGGGGGUCCUGCCAAGGCUCCCAAUUGGUCAAAUGUUUUCUUUUCUUUUUCUUUCAUUUUUUUUUUUUUUUUAACUCAGCGGGCAAUGGAUAGACUGUAGUUAGCAGCCUAGAGAAAAAGGCCUGACAUUGGGAGCUCAACUCCAAAGACCUACCCUUAGAGAUAAAUUUGGGACAGCAACUGUUGAAUGUUAACCUCUCCUUUCUGAAGGGGAUUUGCAGAAGCAGGACACUGAGAGCUGAUAUAGACAAUUUUUUUUUUCUUUCUAAGGCAUUUCUAACUUUUAUGAUUCCCCCCCACUCCACCUCCUUCUUUUACUAUCUCUCUUUGUGCCUCCAGGGCCAGUGAAAGAGCAGGGCAGAUUCUAGAUUGCUUUCAGAGUUUGCCUUCUCUGAUGAUGGAUUACCAUGUCAAUUUAAACGGCAUAGGAUUAAUUUGUUUCAAUGAUUUCUCUUUAGGCUGAAUGCCAGCCGUUUUUCUAUCUCUCCUCUUGCUCUUCAGAACACAACUGAGAGAGAGAGAGAGAGAGAAGAGAGAGAGAGAGAGAGAGACUGACUUCUUUCCAUAUUCUAUGUUGGGAGAGAGACAGUAAUAGAAAUAGACAAGUUAGGUGUAACAUUGCAACAGAGUUAUAGGUUUGAGUGUUUUUAUCUCUGCCUAAGAAGCUGAAACAUACAGCCAGUCACAUUAAAGUGAAAUUGGACUCAACAUUUAUUCAAUAAAUACUUGUGUUAUAGAUAAUCCAGUACAGAGUGCUUUUGACACAUAAGGACUUAAUUUGUCUUGGAUAACAAGUUAUUAAUAUGGCACAUUUAAACUUGCCACCUACAAUAAGGUUAUUGAGAUCUAUAAUAACCUAAAUGAUCAUUGUGAAAAAUAGUUUGGGUGAGAGAGGAAGAAUUUUUUAGACUGUAUAACUUUAUCUUAUAUAUAUCAACACAUAAGCACACAUGCAUGUGUGUGCCCCCUAUCUCCAGAUCACAUACAUGACAAAAAAAAAUUCAGUGAAGUUGAAAAGUUCCUUCCAUUAUGCAGAUGUAGCUAACCUUCCAAAACCAAGACUGUGUCAGAAAGUAUUUUUCUCUUUUGAAUUAUUUCUGACAUGCACAGGAAACAUGCUGUUCAGAUCUACUUUCUUUGCAAAACUAACCCCAUUAUGAAGUUGAAAAUGGCGCCAAAAUGCACGAAGGUGCAUCUGAAAUCAGACACCCCUCCAUCUUUUUCACCUAAAGUUGCAGCCAGCCAGUGCAUGUUGCUGAUAGAAUAAAGACAUUUUACAUGAAAUAAUCUAUCUCUACAGUGAUUGUUUUAUUUUCCUCUUUAAAGGGAGGUCAUCCAGUGAAUACAGAAAUAUAAGAAAGGGAUUUUAUCCUAUGAACCAAAUAUGAUGGGAAAAAGUGAUAUUUGAACACUGGGCUUCAUUUUUACCACACUUUUCUAAUUGCCUCUCUCUGCUCCAACAUUUCCCUACAGUAAAAUUUAGCAUUAUAGUUCAGAAUAAUAAAUUGCAUUUGGAUUAUGAAUACAAAUAGAUUUUUAGCUUUCCUCUUUCUGUCAGUUCUCUCAAUGCAUAGGCAGGCUUUAUUUGUGUAAUUCUACUUUCUAAGGACAUCCACAAUCAGAGGCCAAUCAAUGACUGUCAGAACCUGAAUCUAUGCAAUUUUAAUUUGUACAAAAGUUGUUGGUUGCUAACCUUGGGGAGAUUGUGCAUCUCUAAGAAACCAAAUCUUUGAGAGCUCUCCCUGGGAAAUGAUGUUACACAUGAGCAGAAAAUCCAGGCAAGAAAGGCUAAUUGAAUGAAGAGAGAGAAUUAGGUUAAAAAAUAGAGUACAAUCUAGUAUCACAUUUUCACUAGUGUAACUUGAAAUGAAGGUGUCUUCAAGUCGCCAGUGAUGCCAGAGUGUUUAGAUGUUGGCCACAGAUGGGAACACCUAUUGAAAUGUGUCUGAAGAAGAUUAAUAGGGCUUGUCACUGUUGGGAAAGCACUGCUUUGCUGUAAAUUUCUACCAGCACAAGAUGAAUUACCGAUGAAUGCUCACUUAUCAACCCCAUCACUAUCGUUCGACACUAAAUCAAAUUGAGAAGUUAUCUGCAAUCAGAAAAUUUCUUUUUAAAAUAGACACACACCUUUAGACCCCAACUGUUUAAUAAUCCCAUGCACAAAACAAUUCUCUAUACCACAAUACUUCUUUAGCUUAAUUGGAAUUAUUCUCAAUAAUGAAUAUAUUAUUAAGUUCCCACACAAUGAAAAGCUAAUCAAACACCAAAGUUUGGCAGUAUUUUAACCAGUGUGUGAAGACUUCUUGGGGGUCAUCAUUUAAUACUUUAUAAAACAUAAACAUGUUAUUUUUUUUUUCUUUUAGAUUUUUCUUUACUGGGAAGACAAAAAAAAAGUGGGUUUACUAUUUCAAACCCUUCAAUAUAAGAGGUGUUUCAUGCUCUGUUAAAAUUGUGAGAAUUGCAAGUUUUAUGCAGAGAACAGUAGAUUAGGAUUAAAUGAUAAUGGAGGACAAGCACUUUUAAAAAAAUGAUAUAAGGGUGUUUCAUGUAAUUUAGUUCAGGGAGUAUUGGGGAUUGAGUACAGCACCUCCAGAAUAGUAGGCAUGUAGUCUAUGACAGAACUGGUCCCCAACCUUCUUCAUACCUCAUUUUUAAGUUGGUUUAUUUGAGAAGCAAAACACAGUCAUUUCUUUUUAUUUUCUGCUAAACAACUCUAAGCAUCCAGAAGUUUUCCAACUCAGGGAUAAUCAUAUUUUGAUAAAAUCAUCAACUCUUGCAUUUCUACAGGGCUCUUCCUAUUUAAAAAGUGUCUUAUGCCUGACUCAUUUGAUUUUUUUGGUGCUGGGGAUUGAACGCAGGGCCUUGUGCAUGUGAGGCAAGCACUCUACCAACUGAGCUACAUCCCCAGCCCCUGACUCAUUUGAUUUCUAUUGAAAUCCUGUUCAGGCAGGUAUUCUGAAUUCCUAUUUUACACCUGAGUAAACUGAGGCUCAGAGUUUUUCAAACUCUAUUGACGUUAGAAAACUAACAGAAGCACCAUUUGAAACUAUGUUUUCUGCGUUCCUUUUAGUAUUUUUUUUCACUCCAAGUCAUUAUGUAUAUAAAAUUAUGUAAAUGAAGAAUAAAACUAUGAUGAUGAUGCUUGCUGCAGUUAACACUAUCUGCCAAAACUAUGGUCAGCAUUUACAUGUUGUUUUAUUUCAUCUCUAUACAGUUAUUUUAGAUAGAUACUGCUAUUAUUUCUAUUAUCAAAAAAAAUGAAAACAAAACAAAAUGAUGCUUACAGAGAUUGAGGACUUGCCUAAAAUUCUUAUUGCUAGGAAGUUGGAAUGUGUUACUUAAAUCCAGGAAGUCUGAAUGCAAAGCCACUGCUCUAUCCUAUGUUCCUGUUUUCAAUUUUAAGGAACAUUGAAUUAUUCUGGAUGAUCACAGAAGUCUCACUUAUUUUCCAGAAUGUAAAAAUUUCUCAGAUUCUGAGACAGUGUUAUGAUGAACAGGCCCUGGUUUGGAAAUAAAGAGAGCUGGGUGUAUUCCUUUUAAAUUUAUUUAACUUAUUUAUUUAUUGUUGUUGCAGUCCUGGGGGUGAAACCCAAGUCCUUGGGCAUGCUAGUCAAUGAGUUAUACCCCAGUUAUACCCCACUGAGUUAUACUCCAGUCCUGUCACUUGGCUUAAUUAUUUACUAAGUAGGUGACCUCAACCUCAUUGGUCUUUUUUUUUUUUUUCAUCAUCUCUAAAUUGGGGUGACUAGAUCUAGUGAGCCUUUGUAUAUUGCUUUUGGGUGCUUCUCUCAUUCAUGAUUUCUAAGAGGAAAGAAAAGGGGAACAGAAAAGAAAUAACUAUCUCUAAGGGUGUUUGGAGACAGUAACAUUCAGAGGUUGGAGAAAACAUGGCUCCCAUUUCUAGGAGAUGGGUAUUGAGUACACUCAGCAUUAGUUGAGGUCUCUAUUUUCUUUUUCUUGCCUCCAGAGAGCACUAAACACAAUCGCCCCUUCCUAUCAGAUGGGGAUCAGUUCCAGGACUCCCAUCAAAUAUCUAUCAGAGGAUGCUCAAGUCCGUUAUAUACAAUACUUUUUAUAUUUAUGUGUAACCUAUGAACAUGCUCCUGUUUAAAUAGUCUCUAGACUUCUCAUUACUUAAUGCAAUGUAAAUAAUAGUUAUACUUUCUUGUUUAGAGAAUAAUUACAAGGAAAAAAGUUGGUGUGUGUUCAGUAUGAGCACAAUUUUGUUUUGUUUUGUUUUUUGGCCCUCUUUGAUGCAGAGAUCUGACUUUACCUGAAACAAUGGAGGUUCUCUAGAAAACCAUAUAGUUUAAAUUUGAUUUUCCAAGUAAAAGCAAGAAGAUAAACUGGAGGUUUGUAGAAGUUAGGGGACUUACUCAGGGUCAUCCAACUAAUUGGUGACACAGUUGAAACUGAAUCCUGUUCCUCAAACCAGGAAUUGCCACCACCUCCACCUCACCCUUCCAAAAGCCCAAAAAACCAAAAACCUCUCCUCUACAUUAUGCUCCUUAUUCAACAAAAUACAUACUUUCCAUCAGCUGGUCAUGUUCCUGUUAUAACUAUUUCUCUAUUUUAUGAUGUGAUUCUUUGUGUGGGUUAUUAUUAGUUGUAAUAUGAAAUUUUCCUAAUUCUCUCUCACAAUCAUUUUUCAUAAAACCUAUUAAGCUAACCAGCCAAACAGUGGAAGCUGCAAAGAAGAAUCACAGUAUAAUAAGAAUACUCUGUAAUCUCCAUUAGGUCACAAUAAUACUCGAAUCUGUAUUUAUUACAAUCUUCCUCUGAUAACUUCCAAGCCAAAAUUGCUAGAUUUAUAUUCUCUAAUGGUUCCCAAUGGGAAAAACCUGUGUUUUUAAAUCUUCCUUUUCCUGUCCCAAAUCAUCCUUCCAGAUACAUUGCUUGCUUUGGGAACCCCCGUCUGGGUUUAAUCAGAAGUUGCAAGACAAAAUGUGCAUUAUUAAGAAAUAUAAAUAUUUUCAGAAGCAAUCAAAGGGAUGAAAGAUUGAUUCAGCAUGUAGAUUGGACCUAAUUUGAAGCAGCUUUGUUCUAAUGAGAGCUACUGGGACAGAAAGUUAGGAGCUGUCAUGGCCACCAGUUGGAAUUUCCAAUGCUUUGGAAUAACCUGUCAAGAUUCCUCUUACUAGAUAUGCUGAAACUUUUUGCAAGGUACAGUUUCCAGUCUGUGUCCUAAACCACCCUCCUUGCCAUGCUUAGGGACUUAUGAUAGUCAGCUUUGAGAAAUUAUGACUAAUUCCUUCUCCUUAGAGUUUACAUCAGCAAGUACCUCCCUUUUCAAAACUCGGAAGUUGGCUUAGCGUUAACUUUCAUAAGAACAUUUUGGCCUGAAGGCAUCUGUAUUACAAUUUCUUUCUUGGCUUAAUAAAAGGUAUCACAUUAUCUACCUGGUCAAUCUCUAUUGGCUUUCAAAAUAGAGACAUGGAAAAACCUAAUAAGCCUCAUUAGUAUAUCUGCUUUAAAAACAACAGGCUGCCUCAUUCAGCAUGUUGCUUUGAAAUGUCCCAGCAGAUCUGGGUGGUCACUGCUUGAAUACAGGUAUUGCUAAUUUGGGAUCUUUGUUAGUCUGGUAGCUCUGGAAAAAAAAAAAAAGCCAAAUGUAUAGGUGGAAUUUUAAUACACAAAGGAUUAAACCCUGAUUAUUGUAUUUUGUUUUUGUUUUCUUUCUUUCUUUCUUUUAAUCCCACUUUUUGUCCGAAUGGCCAUGUGUGAGAGAUGGCUUGAUUUUCUUGAUAUGGUUCACCCAUCCACAGCUGGAAUUCCAAAGAGGACUGAAAAUGUCUUUAAAAUCAACACAACUCAGGGAGCCUGAGAGAACAAGUUUUCCUUUGUUGUAGGGUAUAGUAUUAUUUGCUGUAGGUUUUUUGAUAUACAUUCUAAAUUAGGCCUGCAAAGGCAUGCUUCAUCUUUAAUUCAUCACUCUCAGCUGAAAGAGAUUAGCAAUGUCUAGCACGCACCCCUCGUAUGGUGCUGACCUCAUCAAGUAUGGCCUGAAAUUAAUUAGCCUCAUUCAUUCCAAAUGGAAAAGGAUAAUGGAGCAGCAUUUUAGAGAUGACCAUCACAAAUUGUAUGCAGCAUAUUUAAAAGGCCCCUAUUUUCAAACCAUGUAGAUUAAAAUUCUUUCCAGGGUUUACAAUAUGCCUGAGUUAUCAAGGACCCAAAGCAGAGCCCAGUCAGGCUUCAUGCAUGUGUGUAUGUACGCGUUCGUAUGCGUGCAGAGUUGUAUGUUGCAUGAGUACCAGUGACCAUGUUUAGAUACGUCCAUUAUUUAGCUGCCUGGUUCUCUAGGAUGACACCUGGAAUAUUUGAUCAACAAAUAUCUGUUGUUUAAUAUUGUUUAAAAUGAUUCAGUAGUGGAAAAUAUUAAGUGGACUUUUUCGGUUUUUGCUGUUAAGUGGAACAUGCCAGCACAAACUUUGCUGUUUUUCAGUAAGAUGCGAUUCAUUCUCUAAUUUAGAAACAGAAAAGCUUCUUAAAGAAACGCUCAACUUUCUAUUUUGAGUUAUUUUUGAAACUUUUUAUGUCUUUUCCCAUUCCCUACUGUUUGAUUAUAAGUUAGAUUACAGAAUCCCUUAAAUUUAUCAUCUUGCUAAGAUUAGCUGGUUUUUCUCUUUUGGGGAUUGAGUAAGGGAGGUCAAAAUUUUGAAUAUCAAAACUGCUUUCUUUUCAAGCCAACAAAAUCUUGACCAGGGUUCUUUGGGAUUCUCAAAGAUGUUGUAAAGUUUAUUUUUAUGAGCAGAGUUUGGGGACUACAAAUGGAAGAAGAAAAAAAGAAAAAGCAUGACUUUUUUUCUGUGUGUUUUCAGCUUCUAAUUUUUUUUCAUUAGUAUGAAAAGUAGCCAAUGAAUGAAAAGGUAUUAUUCAUAUUUGGGGGGAAUUUUAUAUAGCGUACAUUUCUUUGUUUUCUAUUUUUUUUCCAGUACUGGGAUUGAACUCAGGGACACUCUACCUCUGGUUACUAAAAAGGGCUUAGGAUCCCUUUUUGUUUAUGCAAUUUUAUUUGAGAGAGGAUCUCACCAAUUUUGCACAGGCUGGCCUUGAACUUGCAAUUCUCUUAGUCUCUUAAGUAGCUGGGAUUAUAGGAGUGGGCCACCAUACCUGGCUUAUGGUUACUUUUCUUAAGAAAAAAAAAUAUCUCAGAAUAAUUUUGUUUCAUUAAAUUAACAGUGGUUGUUCUGAGUAAUGUUACUGAAAAGCUUUCAUUUAAUUCUUGAAGGGAAAAAUGCAUUUUAGGCAAAUAAUCUUUUCAGAGUUCAUUGACAGGAUUUUCAUAUAUGUUAUUUAAGAUUAUUUGGUUUUAUAAUAACACAGAAACUGCCAAGUAUGUUUCUCAUAUCUCUGCAAAAAUUAAGAUUUAGAAAUUUAUCCAAGUUUACUUUUGCCUAAUCUUCUCAUCCCAGAAGGCCCUUUUAUCUAAUGGGCAGUUAUCAUUUAUAUGUACAAGAUCAUCAAUCACUAACUGUGAACCUAUCAUUUUGAUAUAAAAGAUCUAUCCUUAAGUCUGCCCAAACCUCUAGCAUAUAAUUUGAGGAAAUUGACUUGCUUAAAGUCUGGGCUUCUGACAUCUGGGGGAUAAAAUGAAAAAUUGGGGAAAGCUUACAUUAUACACAUUUGAUUUUAAAAUCACAGUUUAACUGAGCCAGGGAUAAGAGGAUGAUGUGAUACAGAAUUUUACAUAUUGACAGAAAUAGAUCAUUUUGCUAAUCAUCAUCUAAAUAAUUUGGAAUUUUGUGGCAAAUAAACACAGUAGUAAAUAAAGAGGAAUAUUCUGUAAAAAUUGCUUUCUCAUUAAAGCAUGUGUUACCAAAAAUAUGAUGUUCUUCUAAUAAUAAAUGUGAAAUUUUAUUUAUUAUUGAGACAAAGGAAUACAUGCAUUCUAUAAUAUUGCAAUUUGUUCAGAGACUGAACAGCCUGUCUGAAUUUUUACUUAAUAUGUCUUGUCAACUGAGGUAAAAAUGUAGAAAAACUGUAAAUAUAAGGAUUAGGUUGUAUGAAAUUUGAGUUCAUUCAAAUAAAAAACUUAAAGUAAAACUCAGAUGAACUUACUCAAUUUCAUUUGGUAUCCACCUGAAGCUAUAAAUCUUUUGUUGGCAUUUGAAGGUAGAAAAGAGGUUCACUAAAAUUUAAACCAGGUUUUCCUAAACCCUAAACUAGACUCGCUAACUUUGGGGUAAACUAUGGUUCCAUUUUAGGUUCAUAACAAAACAUUCAUCCUAUUUUAGCUAAUGAUGAAUGGAUGAUGGGUUAGAGGAGAGGGAACUAGAAGAUAUUUUUGGAAUUGUUGUUUUAUUUUAUUUCAUAUUUCCUGUCAUGUUCUGUAUUAGGGAAGAGCAGUAUAAUGAGACAAAUUUUUAGUGAUGUCUGGAAAGAUGACAACAAACAGAAGAUCAGAGCAGGGAAACUGGCAGUCUUUGAAUUGCCAAAUAUGCAUAAUUUCUUUUUAAAGGAGAACAUGGAUGAAGAACUAACAUUUGUAAGGUGCUUAGUAUUCUUGAGCACUGUUCUAAGUGUUUCACGUAUAUUAAUUUAGUUUUCUAUCGCAAUCCCUGGCAAACACUAUUAUUUCUAUUCUCCAGAUGAAAAACACCAGGCAGAGGAAAGUCACAUAACUUGCCCCAAAGUCACACUGCUUGUCAAAGUGAUCUGACUCCCACAACCACUUGUUUUGGAGUCUCCACCCUUAGGUCUGGUGCUAUAUUGCUUCUCAAGGGAACAUACAGUUAUAGUGUUGUUUGGAAAAUGAACUGCAGCAGACUAUGAAUGGAAGGGAAGUCUUCCCUUCUUUUUGACUUUUGAGGGCAGUAGGAAAUUUAUGGGGAAAAGCCAAUUUUCUUAUCCCAGAAGUAGGUGGGGAAUUGGUUUCCCAAACCUCCACUUAGAAAACUACAUUAUAUGUAGGAUGCCUCAGUGUGCAAGGCAGAGGGGAACAAAGUGAAAUUUAAAGAAAGUAUGUAAUGACAGGGUGAGAGAUUGCCUUAGAAGGAAAGAUGGAAAGAACUAAAUAAGUAGAAUUGGCUAAGCAGUAGUUACUAGAGAACUAGACUGUGUUCUAGAAAUAUUUAGAAGAAAAAUGAGGGCCUACAAAUGUCAGUAGGGAGGUUGAAAAGAAGCAAAAAAGGAAAGGUAUAAGAGCAAAUCAAAUUAAAGUAAACUCUAAGAGUCUGUCAUUGUCUUGAGAGACCCACAAAGAAAGCCAUAUUUUCUUAGAAUAGUGAAGCCAUAGCCAGAGAUUUCAUAGGAAAAGAAAAUUUCAUUCCCUGUGUUGUACUUUGAAGCAGAGAAAUAGGCUAAAAACGAUAGUUUAGGGCUAUGGGUGUAGCUCAGAGGUAGAACACUCAACUAGAGUGCAUAAGGCUCUGGGUUCCAUUCCCAGUACCAUUAAAAAAAAAAAGAAAGGUUGAAAAAUGCUUUGCAUAAAUUGGCAUGGUUUGUGUGCACCUGUAAUUCCAGUAAUGCAGGAGGCUAAGAUAGAAAAACAGCAAGUUUAUGGCCAGCCUCAGCAACCUAGCAAGGCCCUAAGCAACUUGGUGAGACCCUGUCUCAAAAUAAAAAAGAAAAAAAUCUAGGAAUAUUGCUCAGUGGUGAGUCCCUCUGGGUUCAAUCCCCAGUCCAAAAAAUAAAAAUAAAAAGCUUUGCUGGGGCUGGGAUUGUGGCUCAGUGGUAGAGUGCUCACCUAGCACAGGGGGGACCCAGGUUCAAUUCUCAGUACCAUAUAAAAAUAAAGGCAUUGUGUUGUGUCAAUCUACAAAAAAUAAAAAAUUAAAAAAAAUAAAAAUUCUCUCUCUCUCUUUCCCCUUAAAAAAAGCUUUGCAUAAUAAUACAUGGAAUGCCCCCAUAUCCUUUAUGUUUACUAUCUCAUUUAAUCUGCAUUAUAUAUUUGUAAGGCAUAUGUAUUAUUAUUUCUACCUUACAGAUAUGGAAACAAGAAUCAGACAUUAUGUUACCUGCCCAGGAUCAGAAAGCCAAAAUCCCUCUAAGUCCUCCCCAAUCCUGGUCUCCUCCCAGAAGCGUACUCUGUGUACUCCCACACAACACCCCCACCAUUGUGCUCAGAAAGUGAUAUUGUAAAACAUCGUCUGGUUUUAUUCCAAAUUCAUUAUGCUGCAUUACCUGGAAGGAUCGUACUGAUAAGAACACAUUAUGCUGGAAGAAGACAUAGCCCUGCUUCUGAAAUCUGGCUGACAUCCUCUAGGAGGUGGCCCAGUCUGCUCAGUUUGUUCAGAAACUGUGCAUGUUGAUUAAACACACAGCAGUGGGUUUGGAUGUGGGACCAAAUGAGAGCCGGAUAUACAUAAGAAAAUGAAGAGGAACUCUCAAAGGAGGCCUUGAGCAUCCUGUGUCUACAGGCCCCCAAAUGAAAUCACCUGGCUGUUUAUAGGAAUCUUAGUGCUGAUGAAAAGACUGAAUUAACACUGCAAACUGUUCCCUGCCAAUAAAGAAAAGUUCCAGAUUCUUUAAAAAGUAUGUAAAGCAUCGAUCUGUAAAGUGGCAACAACAUUUGGGACCAAUUACCCAGAUUAGGCGGCAACAAUGGUCUGUUUACACUUUGUAGCCCAGAGCCCUUUGGCUCUGGUCCACAAGCAGGGGAUUGUAAAUUACAGGAAUUUCAGCCCAACAUUGACUUCUCUUUUGACCUAUGUGUCUGAGUACAGAGAAAAGCAGGUGAAAAAGUCCUGUUGUGACUUGCCUGAAAAAUGUCAAUGAAUAGGGAACUGAACAUUGUCUUCCAGGUAAAACACUUAACACAUAGACCCUCUGUAAAGGAGGCCUGGGUUUUAUCAUGCAGAGAGGAGUCUGGCUGACUACAAAAUGUGUCAGGAUAUAGUUUUUCAGUUUGCAAAGUUUCUCAAAAAUGAUUUUUGCAAGAGAAGUUAGGAAAUAAAGGCUGCCUGUCAUCUUUUGGUUACUUACCAUGCCCCUUCAAUUUAACUCCCUUUUCCAACACAUUGUGUAUUAGUAACAAAUGGUAGAUAGUGACAUUACUACCAUGAGAACUGUAUUGGUGGCAAUGAUUAGCCUAGGUGGCAGCAAAUACAGAUGUUGAGGGGAAAAAAUGCGUUUAGAACAUUUGGACAAAACUCACAAAUUUGAAUUGUUUGAAACUGAGGUGUAGAUUUCUCCCUCUUCUUAGGAGGAACAAUCUUCAUUUUUCAUAACUCUGGUAAUUCUAGAACUUUUUGAAAGUACUCUCUUUCCUUUAAUAUAAUCCUGAUGUUAAGGCUUUGACCUUUGGGUGGGGGGAAGGGGUGAAUAUCCACAGAGAUCAGGAAACAAGAAGAAAUGGGAAAAGUAGUCAUUCCCGAAGAGUAAGCUGCCAAAUGCAGCAGUGUGGAAAAGACAGAUUAUCAUUUUACCUGCGCUCAUAAUGGCAUGUGUUCAGAGUCUAAAAAUUCAGCCACACCAAAUACAACUGUUAGACCAUCAAAUUGGAAAUAACAACAGUCAAGGACUGAAUUCUUGUUUUUCAAGUUCUGUCACUUGGACAGUCAUUUAGAUGAAAACAGAAUUGAGGCUGUGAUAGUGUAGUGCUGUGGGAAUCUCAGAGCAGGAAAGCAUUUCAGUUUUGAACAAAUCAUCCUGUAUGUACUUAGUCUUCUAAGGCAACUCAUAGACGAUGCCAUUCCAGAUCCUUCAUACAUCAACAUAUUUUACUGAUAAAAAAAAACUGGUUGGAAAGCCAACUGUAUUCAACUUUGGAUUUUUCUGACUCUGGUUCAUCUAAAAAUUUUUUUACCAUUUUCUGCAAUGUCAGAGCUUCCUGACAUUUACAAUUAACUCACAAAUUAACUUAGAAAUGAUAGUAAGCUCUCAGCUAAAUGAUAUAGUGGCCACUGGGGACCAGACCAAUUUUCCAGAAUAAGGUUAGGACUGAGUUGCUCUGUAACAAUGCUAAGGUUGGUUGUAUAGAAGCAGUCGUUCAAAUGUGAGCAGGAAUCUAGGUGUAAGAGGACAGACAUUGUCGGUCUCUGAAGUUGGCUGGGUACUUGGCAUUCUGACAUUUCUUAACCUAAUAAAGCAGAGAUAAUCUGUUUACUUUUUCUUUUUUUUUUUUUUUUAAUUCAAGACUCCAUUACAAAAUCAAGAAGACAUGGACUUCUACUACUGGAAGGAAAAUUGAACAUUGGUCCAAAUUCCUGCUGAACUCAGGGUUUUGGAGAUGGAUAGAUGAGUGCAGAUGAAGACUGAGAAAUUUCAGGAGUUGCAGAUUCAAGGCAGGUAACAUGUGUGGGAAGGUGUGGGCAAAAGCCUCCAGUUGGCCCAGGGCCCAUCUAAAGAAAUGGAGGGGAAGGGCUCAGUCUCCCCAAGCUGCUUAUGUAGGAGAAAGCUUUGUUUAUGGAAAGCUUUGUUCCUCAAAUGGAAGCCCAAAUCCACAUCUCUGGAACAUCAAUCCAUCAGAUCAAAUUCUAUCCUUAGAGGACAUAUAAUUGAAUCUUGUCCCUUUACCCUGUGACAGACCUCCUGAUACUUGAAGAUAAUGGUCAUACUCCCCAAUCCACUGCUGGUGUUUAACUGGAGAGAUUCUCCAGUUUCCCAUAUAACUCAGAAACUCUUGCUUUCCUGAGUUAGCCUUGGCUUUCCAGAAUCUUUUAAGAAGUCUCUGUCUUUAUUUUUUAUUUUUUUUGUGGUGCUGGGGAUUGAACACAGGGCCUUGUGCAUGUGAGGCAACCACUCUACCAACUGAGCUAUAUCCCCAGCCCUUAAGAAGUCUCUUGAGGGCUGGGGUUGUGGCUCAGCUGUAGAGCAUGCACCUAGAACAUAUGAAGUGCUGGGUUCAAUCCUCAGCACCACAUAAAAAUAAAUAACGAUAAUUUUUUUUUUAAAAGUCUCUUGAAAUAAAUAAAAUACACAGAAGUUCUGUCACCAGCAUAGACAGUGUCUGUCCACUGUAUCUUGUUACUGGUCUUAAAGAAAGCCCUCCACCAGGGAAGAGCUCUGCACUCCUGAGUCAGACUUCAAUCAUCUGGGGCUUAUACAGUGGAUUUAAUGCAUUUAAGAAUGUCUCAUGUUUAUCCCCAUUAAAUUUCAUUUUGCUUUGGCUUUUUGUUAGCUUUUAGAAUCUCUGUGUCUCUCUCAUCUUUUGUUGUUUUACAAAUUGCCCAGCCUUUUUAGAAGUAGUUUUUCCCAAUCAUUGAACUAAAUUUUGCAGAUAUUGGGUUUCUAGGGUUUCUGGGGUCUUCCAUGUCACUAGUGUUAUGUUGAAAAUAGUUGCAUAUUUAUUUCUUCAAUCAGCUCAUAAGUAAUGGUUAAUAGAGGGGUCUCUGGAACGAAAUUUGCUUGGGUUUAAAUACUGCAUUUGACAAUGUACAAGUUAGAUGGCCUAGGGCUUGUUUAAUUUAUCUGUGACUCAGUUUCUGCAUCUGUAAAAUGGAGAUAAUGUAAUUACUAUAUGUAAUUGUUUUAAUGGCUAGAUGAUUUGGUAUUUUUGGAGGGCAUGGGUAUGAGGGAUUGAACCCAGAGGCACUUAACCAUUAGAGCCACACUCCUAGCCCCUUUUAUUUUUUAUUUUUAAUUUGAGACAGGGUUUCAGUACGUUGCUGAAGUUGAUUUUGAACUUGCGAUCCUCCUGCCUCAGCCUCCUGAGUCCCUGGGAUUACAGGCAUGUACCACUGUGCCCUGAUGAUUUAAUAUUUUUAAAGCACUUAAACUAGUGUCUAGCAUAUAGCAUGCAUUAUUUAUUAUAGAGAUAAAAUAAAUUGAGAAAAGAUACUUAAGAAAGGGGACAAUGUUGUUCAUAUCUAUUUCUCUAAAGAGAUACAGGGGCUGGGCACAGUGGUGCACACCUGUAAUCCCAGUGGCUCCAGUGGCUGAGACAGGAGGAUCUGGAGUUCAAAGCCAGCCUCAGCAAAAGUGAGGUGCUAAGCAACUCAGUGAGACUUUGUCUGUAAAUAAAAUACAAAAUCGGGAUGGGGAAGUGGCUCAGUGGGCAAGUGCCCCUGAGUUCAAUAUCCACUACCCCCAAAAAUAGAAAAAUAAAGAGUUACAGGGGCAUUUGGUGCUAAGAUGUUGAGAAUACAGGUGAAUGAGUUUCCAUAGUGUUGUAAACACUGGAUGUAAGCAGACAAUAUAAUCAAUACUCUAGUUUCUAAUGCUCACAGAUUUUCAAUAUUAUUAUAACAAAGAAAUCUUGAAUUCAGGCUCAUGCCUAUAAUCUCAGCUUCUCAGGAGGCUGAGGCAGGAGGAUCACAAGUAGAGGCCAGCCUAGGCAACUUAGUGAGACCCUGUUUAAAAAAAAAAUUAAAAAAGGACUGGGGACAUAGCUCAGUGAUAGAGUACCCCUUGGUUCAAUCCCCUGUAGUAAAAGUACUAAAGAGAGAGAAAUAAACCCUGAAAAGAGAAGUUGUGUAGAUUCAACAUCUCUCUGGUGGUUAUUUUCCUGCUAACCUUUCUAUGAACAAUAACAUCAAUAAUAUCUUUAUUGAGGCAAAUCUAUCAUGCCUUCAUUUAGCAUAGAAGACCAGAAAAAUCACACACUCAGGUCCAAUCUAAACUCAGAAGGGGAGAAUCACACUGCUUAGUUUGUAUUUAUUCCAGGCUGAGAGGAGAUGACAUGUAUUUUUAUCAUGAAAAAGAGCUGAACAGGAAUGUUAGUGCUUCUUAGAUAUUUAUUUCAUUUAAAACUUUGGUAGAUCCCCAGGCCAGAGGCAGACUCAUUGAAUAACACAUGCUAAGAAAUAGAUGUUUUAAAACUUCCCCCACUAUAUGGAAGUCUCUGCAUGGUCCUACCUUUUCAUUAACACCAGCCAUGAAGCUACUGACAUCAGAGUGGGUCUUGAUUUAUGUGCAUAGCAACCUAAGGCUCCCCUAGGUUCCACUUCAGUGUGUCAUAUCCAGUUCUCAUCAGGUUGAAAAUUUAAAACUUUCAGAGAUACCUUUUAACAGGCAAAUCUCUUUGAACCUCAGUCCAUGCUAAUUUAAACACAUUGGGUAUUUUCUUCCUUCUGAAUUAGUACAGUUGAGCUCAAAGAAUAAAAUUCACCGCUGUUUUCUCCUUUGUGUGUGUUCAAUAGGUACCCCCAAGCAAUUACCUACUGUGAGAUGUGGGAGGAGCCAUUCUGUAAUAGCAGGGGCCACUGGUAACAUGAUAUGUGGUUGUUGUGUGUGUAAUGUGCUAAUACUUUUGACAGCAACCAUCCGAAAGGGGUGUAGCAAGUUAUUUGAAAUUUGUACACAGACUGCCCUAUCCAUUACGCAUCGCCCAUAUCAUACCAAUAAUCUCCCAGGGCAGAGAUGCUGUUACACUCGGCGGGCCACGGGCUGCCGUGUGGGUAUGCACACAACUCCCACUGACUGUGCCACCGUGACACUUCAAUGGGAGUUGUCAGCAGCAUAAAUUUAGCCCUGUACAGUCGCAACCACAGCGGGCGCAGCUAAACAGAGACCUGGCUGUGUGUUAAAAAGGCUGAGUAAGAACAAAAAAGCUGCCAGUUUUCAUAAGAAAUCUUAUCCCCUGAGCAUUGAGAACUGUAGCCUGAUACUCACCACAUUCUUUAUCCUUGUCCCACAACCUGCGGAUCCCAGGCUGGGACUUGGAAGCAACGAACAGAGUGGGCAUUAAAAAGAAAGGUCUGCUACAGGGCAUCAAACCGUGCUUUGCAUGCAACCUUAUUAUGUGAGGGAAAAAAUCCCCAUAGAGGAUCUUUAGAACAUUUAUUCAUCAAAAUUUAAAGGAACACCUUGGAACCAAACCCUUCUUCAAAUAUAGAAAAUUUAAAACACAUAAAACAAGAGCACAAAAGUGCUCAGCUUUUCAAAGUCACUCAUCUAUCCAGUUUGAAUCCCACAGUGUUAUGGGUGUUAUAAUAUAUAACACAUAGAUUGUCAUGCUAACAUGAUCACUGCUAUUGGAGACCUAUUUUAGUGUUUUUCAGCAUGUUUUCUAAUGCAAGUCCUUUUUUGGCCACUUGAACAUCCCCAAAUCAUAUCUUCUAAGUGACCAGGUGUCACUAACCUCAAUCCCCGAUUGCAGUAAACCUCAGGAGUUAAUCCUCAGUGCUCCGAGUCCCAGCCCUCACUGUUAUAAACAGUGAAUUCUAUUUAUUCAUAAUUAGCGGCAGUAGUAUUUUGGCAGGCAGAGCCUGGGUUUGAAUCCCUGCUUUGUGCUACAAUAACUGUGUGUCUUGGGAGUGUUGUGUAACAUCUGUAAACCCCGUUUUCCCCAUCUGUAUCUUGAAGUUGACAAAUACUUCUUCAUAGUGAUGUUGUGAGGACAACAUGAGAAACAUGAGAAAGCGUGGAAGCACUUAGCAUAACAUACACGCUCCAACAAAUGACACAUGGUACUUAGUACACACUCAAUAAAAGCUUCCUUGUUUUUUUUCUUCUUCACCAUUAACUAAUGAGCUCAUGCUCAUUCAAACCUAUGUAUGUGAAGAAAAACACUGCUCUUAAAAGCAACUCAAUUAAAUAUUAUCUCAUGAAUAAGAGAUGACCAUACAUUUAACAAAAUGCAUUUAAAGCUACACUCAUCCUUUGAUUUUUGGUACAGAACAAAUAGGAAUGAUACAAUUCUAAAGGAAAGAGUAAGCAAGGAACCACAUUAGAUAUUCAAUCAGGUCUGAUUAAUGGCUACUUCCAGUGGCAAUUUUAGCUGAGCUUAAAUUCCUGCCUUUCUAACUGUUGUGGGAAGUGGUUUUGGUGUCCAUGAAGAAACCGAAUGCAGGACUGGGGUAGCCCAGUGCUGCAGCACUUCCCCUAGCAUAUGUGAGGCCUUGGGUUCCAUCCCCCAAAACAAAAGAAAAAAUAAAGUUGAAUGCAUAAUUAAUUCAAAAUUUCCAUAGAUUUUUUUCUCUCAGUUUGGGAAAGACCAAAAGUUAGGUGCAAUUCUUUUAAUGCUAUGAAACUAGUAGGUUUCAUGAUAAUGAAUUUAUAUAUACAUAAUUAUCUUACUUAAUAAAUUUAGACUUGUAAUUUCAUUUUUUUUCAUCAGUUCACAAUGUAAGGACCCCAGUUUGGAGUUGGAUUAAUCACGUAUUAAAAAAAAUUGCAUUGCUCCAAAAGACUUUCACUCGUUUUAAGAAAGGUAGUCUAGGUCACAUUCAAAAACUAAUGUGUUCUUGCGUAUGAAAGUGUAAUAGGUUAAUUUGAAAGGUAUGAAUAAUUCAACACACAAUCAUGUGUUUUUUUAUACGUAUUUUUCCCACAUGAAAAUGUUGCUUUAUCAUUGUUAGUAAAUUCCCAUUGGUACUAUAUAUCAGUUACAUAUUUGGAGCAAGGUUUGGAGAUCCAACGUUUUUUUUUUUUUUUUUUUUUUUUGGAGAAAGAACUAAAGUUUAAUAAAAUUGAAAGAGCACGUGCAGUUUUUGUGUGUGGACUAUUUUCAGGUCACAAAGUAAUCUUCCUUGGUUUGCAGUUGCAGUUAGAAAAUGCUGGAAGUAAAAAUGACAACAAAAAAUCAAACUGAAUUUGUACAAAAUGCAGGGGCUUUGAAGAUUGUGUCUGAGCAUUUGGUGAUGGCAGUGUAACCACUUCUAUAUGUAUAAGGAAAUAAUUAAAAAAAAAGACUAAGGCUUACUCUAAACACAACUUUAGGUGGUAAAUCAAGCUCUGAAUGGAAAAUAAAAUUGCUGUAUAUACAUCAAAUUAUAUGCACAUCCAUGUAACUCUCAUACAUGUAUCCAGGUAUAAGAGUUUGCACAUGAUGAGCUCUCUAAGUUCUUUUUGUUUCAUCAAAGAUAAUAUAAAAAUAGAAAAACUCAAAUCUGCCUUCUGCCUUCCAAUCUCAUGUCUUUCUGUGUAGGCUUGGCCUCUCAUGUUCUGCUAAAUUUGUGGUCAGUGAAUCUUGUCUGAUCUAACAGAAAUUCUUUUUAAAAAACAAGGUACCCCCUUGCCCAGCCACAUUUUGCCUCAAUUUUACUUAUCCCUCCAGCCUCCCAUGCCUGUCAAAUCAUAGCAUCGCCUCAGCUGCAUCAAAUUGAUUUAGGACACUAAACAUUUCCUCAAAAAUUAAAUUCCCCAUGAAAACUUAGCAGGACCAAUAAUGGCAUCAAAAAAGAGUUAUGGGAAAAGUGCCAGAAGUUGAGCUAAAAUGAAGGCCGAUUCCUUUAUAUCAGGGAGGAGGGGAAAAGGGUCAGAGAAGUGAAAGGAAAAGCAGGGCAGGAGGAGAGGCAUGAAGGAGAGGAGGGACCGAAAUUAGAACAAGAGGCUAUGUUUAUUAAUAACCUUACUGACCCACAGGACCCUGACACAAAAUACAUUAAGGAUUCUUGGGACAUUCUGGUCUGUCACUCAUACGAGGAGCAAAUAAAAUGCAGUUGGAAGCUGCAAACUUUCUGAGAACAGAUUAAAAAAAAAAAAAGGAGGGGGGAGAGAGCCAGAAUAAGGUGAAGGUUUAGACUUACAAGCUUAAGAGGUCGGGUGGCCUGGGCUCUCCUUUCGUCCCCUGCAUCAUCCUCUCUCGGCAGUUUAUCUUCCAUUGACACACUUUUAUCAAACUAGGAUUUAAAGAGCACAAGAAAAAAAAAUAUAUUUUAUUGUUGUGAAAAGGAUAUAUGUCCAUGGCAGAACAUUUGGCAAUUAUGGAAAAAACACCAUGAAGUGAAUAGAAAUUGCCUCUGAGCCUUACCAGCAGGGUGUCAUCACUGCUCAUACUUUUAAAUACAUUUUAAAAUCUCUACUUUUUUUUUAAGACCGUUAUUUUAUUUAUUUAUCUCUUGAUGUGGUGCUGGGGAUCGAACCUAGUGCCUCAUGCAUGUUAGGCAGGUGCUCUAGCACUGAGCCACAACCCCAGCCCUCCUGGACUUCUUCUUUUUUUUUUUUUUAACAUGAAUAUAUUUGUUUGUUUGAAAAACAGGAGAGGGGCCCUGAUGGAUGGGCUGCUGUGUAGUAAACUGCUUUUUCCAUUUGACAAGACAGAAUGGAUGUCUCAAAACGGAUUCUCAAAACUAAUCCAAAUCAUGAUUUUUAUGUCACCAGUGACUCAUUUGACCUCUCGUUAGAUAGUUAGGUCUUUUGUAGCUUUUAUAAAAUCUUUGUGUGUAUUUUCAUUUUCUCUGUCUAAAUUACUGUAAGUGAAAAUCCUGCCUUAUUAAUUCAUUUAUCUAUUUGUUACUUAUUUAUCUAUUUAUUAUUUAUUUAUUUUUGGCUAUGUUUUGUAGGGUUGCCCUCCAAAGAAGUAUUUGUGCCAUUUGCACUGAAUGAGAAUGCUGAUUUCAGGAAAUAUUAGUUCUUCCCCAAAUAAGGAAAAAACCCUUAUUUUUGGCCUACGGACUGUGAUUUUUAUUUAUUUUUGGUUGUUUGUGAUGCUCCCUUUCUUCCUGUUUCCUGACUAUUGGUCUUGUUUUGUGUCCUUGCUAUUACUUUUUGGUUUUCAAUCUUUUUUUAGUUAUAUAUGGACACAAUAUCUUUAUUCUUUUUAUUUUUUUAAUGUGGUGCUGAGGAUCAAACCCAGUGCCUCAGAUGUGCCAGGCAAGUGCUCUGCCACUGAGCUACAACUCUAGCCCUUGCUUUUACUUUUAUUUGCUUAAGUUUGCCUCCUAGUUCUAUGGGGUAUUAGCUGAUUUUCCAUUAAAUUAUAAGUUUUCUUUAUCUUAAGUUUAUUAACCCUUUCACCAGGAUGUACUGCAAAUAUUUUCUAUUUUGUCAUUUGGUUUUUAGUUGUUAAUUCAUUAACAUAUGUUUGUGCAUUUAAUUGAAAAAUGUUUUUUUUUCUUUCUACCUUUGCUUUUAUGUUUAAAAAGGCUUCGUAUAUUCCUGCAUGAGAUCAAUAUUAUUAAUCUAUAUUUUCUACCAGUGUUUUUGUGGAUCCUUUUAUUUUUAAAAACAUCUAAAUCUCUCAUUUCUUUGAGAAUUCUUUUUAGUCCAUGUGGUAAGAAUAUAUUUAAUGAAAUUCCUUUUUAUUAUAUAUUAUAUGUUAUUGGACCCUUUUCAAAUUUUUAUGUUUUAUUUCAUUUUUUUGUCUUCAUCUCUUUUCUCCAAGUUUUUCUUCUUACCUAUAAUUUAAGAAAAUGUUUUUUUAAUCAGUAAUGAAAGUUUUUCCUCAUUCAAAUUAGUUUUCUGGAUUAUGUGUUCCUGCUUGGUAUGCUUUAAGAAGUCAUCAAAUUCCAAACUAUUUCUUAAUGGGUGGGGAUUUGAGUUCUUUUAGUAUUGGGUUUUCUCAUGUAGAAAUAAAUGAUGGCUUCUUAUUUAACUUUUCAUAUGAUCUUCUGAAAAGGUAGAGUUUCUUUAGGUAGUUUCUCACUAUAGUCUCAAUUUUAUUCAGUGCUUUUGUGCAUGAAAUUUUCCUGGUAUAUUUUAUGACACUUUGCUGGGAAGUCAAUUUAUUUAUACAUUUUUGUUUUCUAUUUGCCACUUGACUGAUUUUCUAUUCAAAUGAUUUGGCCAAUUUGGUUAUUAUUUUCAUUUAUAAAUAUAUAUAUGUAUAUUUUUCCAGUGGUAGGGAUUAAACCCAGGGCUUUGCUCAUGCUAGGCAACUGCUCUGCCACUGAGCAAUUUGAUUCUCUUUGAGUUAUCUAGGCAGAUGAGAUUAUCAUCUACAAAUAAUGAUCUCUCUAUCCCCUUGCCAAAAUUAUAUAAUUUUUAAAAGUUUUUUUUCUUGUCUUAUUGCAAAAGAUGAGACCCUCCAAGUCACUUAAAGGUAUUCAUCAUUAGGAAUGCUUCCUAUAUUUUGAUAUUAAGUGUGAAUAUCUGAAUAUGUGUAAUUUUGCUGAGCUCUGACUUUCAUACAUGUUUCUAGAUUCAGCUUUCAGCCUCUUUUCCUGAAUUAUUAUCAUUAUUUUUUUGUUUGUCUACCCCACCCUUCUGCUAAGUCCUAAAUAAGUCUUACUGUUCCUUUACUCAAGAGUGUUCACUCUGUGCACAGACAUCUCCUGCUUGUAUCUAUUGAUUCUUCUUUGGAACUCUAAACACCCAUUGUUUACUUACUGAUAGUACAACUCUCCUUUAAUUCUCAGACUAACAUGAUAAAAACCUGAACUGCUCUUGUUUUAUUUUAGUAAAUCAUGUGAAACUUAACAGGAUAUUUUCUGCCAACUUAAAAGUUAAUGUCUUGCCUGAGAUUUUUUAUUUUCCCAUUUUAAGAAAAUGCUAAAGUAUUUUCUCACAUAGAAAUUAUCAUUUCAUUUGAAUUUGCUGACUUUUUGCCAAUGAGAAGUAAAAAUAUCUUGGGAUUUUGCAUAUGCCAUGCAAAAAGGAUUGGUUCCUUGGGUUAAAACAAUAUGUGAAAAGAGACCUAGGGGAACAAACAGCAAGAGUUAGCAAUAGUGCUGAGGUUGUGUAAAGGAUGUAGAUUGGUGAGCGCUUUUGGGGUAGGCCAGACCUAAUAAGGGUGGAUCCUUGGAGAUGUCAUUUUAUCACCCUGACCCUCCAAGUCUUCUGUAAAUUGUGAGAUAAUGCAAAAAUUAGUGACAACUUCCAAAAACAUUUUAAUUAGACUUAUCACUUUAAAGAAGGCACCUGGUGGGUUCUUCCUAUGGGACACUAUUGGGUCUGUUUGGUUUGAAGAUAGUGGUAUGUGUCAUGUUUUAGAUAACAAAUAAAAAGCAAAGAGGAUUUCUAUCAUGACUUUCUAUAUAGAACUAAUCCCAAGCAUGCUCAAAAAUUUGCAGAUUUAGUCAACAGCAUGGGCUGUACUGGGGGUGUGGUCAAAGGGCUCCCUAACUUCUGCCCAGGAGUGGGAACUCUGUCUUCUUUUCUAUCCUCUCGUGUGGCCUUGUUCUUGACUGCUCAGAUUCCUUGUACCCUACUUCCUAUCCCAUGAUAAUGGAACAUUCCAUGUGAAAGUUGAGAUUCUGUCUUUCUCUGAGGGAGACAUCUGAUAAUGUAAUAAAUUGAAUUGUUGUAGCCAUGUGCCUACAUUUAAGAAAAUCCCAGUACUCCUUAGCUUUUCCAACUUGUUCACCUAGGAAGCACUCCUAUUAUCACCAAACUUCAGUGUGAAGGUGUCAGAAUAAGAAUUUUCUUGUAUCAAUCCCAAAAAUAGACAUUUGUAUUUUUUUAAUAUGGUGGGAGGUAUCUGUAUUAUUAUUGUUUAAAAUCAAUUAUCCUUUACUUCAUAUUUUUCCCUGUUGUUUAUUUUAUCUGUCCUACUUUCCCAGAGGGACAGAAUUAAAGCCCCCAUUUGGUUUUUAUUAGCAUAAUCAGUUAAUAGCUGUUCUAUAAUGCUUUACUUAUUGUGUUAAUUUUCUGUAGUUAUGUCCAGAGGCAGCUUCCUGAAAGACCACAUUAAAAAAAAAAAAAAAAGACCUAACUUACUUCUUUAAUGGAUCCAGUUACCAUUUAUACUUAAGCUAAGAUUUUUGAAUGCAAUUGAUCUAUAAAGUCAUUGAAAAUAUAUAGGAACUAUAGCUAGUAUUUUAAAAUAUAUCUGUGGUGAGUCUAAACAUUUCAUUAGCAUCAUGUACAAAUGCAAAUCCUAGUGUCUCUGGUGACUUCGGUUUAUCCCACAAGUUCUUUGGAUUUGCCCUGAGUAUGUCAGAGAUGUUAGUAUGUGCUAUUACUAUGUAUUCUAUCCUAAUUAUUUCAGUUCUUCUAUAUGUCUAAAUUCUGAUACCUGGGGACCAUUGUCCAUCAUGUUGAGGAGUUUAAUGGGAAUGUAUCCUAUGUAGACAUUGGUAUUCAAAAGACUAGUUCUCAAAUUAAAAUGUAACUUCCAAACAGACCAUAGUGGCAAAAUAACUUACCUAAAGGAUAACAAAGGGGAUAUUUGUGAUAAAUGUGAUAGAUUGGACCAAAAAGUUAGGUUGCAUUCUGAAUUACAUAAAUGUACUGGACUGAAAAGAACUUGACUCUGAGGUCUACAUCAUGGGUUUUAGACCUUCCUCUAACAUGAACUGACUCUCUGGGCCUCUGUUUCCUCUUCCGUGAAAUGAGGAAUUGGGAUGAAAGUUGUAAAGUUCUUCUAAGCCUUUGUUCUCUCUGAGAUGUUCAUUCUGUGCUUGCUUUGUGCAGUGACUAACGGAGGGAGGAGUAUUAGUAGGCAUUGGAUGAGGAUUAGAAUGGGUCUCAUUCAUUGAGUCUCUGGAGAUGAGCAUGGCACUUAAUGCCAAGUAGGGGCCUGUCAACACUUUAUACAGGUUGAGCAUACCUUAUCUGAAAUAUUUAAGAUGAAAUUGUUUUAGAUUUCAGAUUUUCUAAUAUUUGCAUAUACAUAAUGAAAUGUCUUGGGAAUGGGACCCAAAUCUAAACAAGAAAUUUAUUUGUUUCAUAUACGCUUCACGCACAUAGCCUGUAGGUAAUCUUAGGCAAUAUUUUUAAUGCAUCUGCAUUUAACUGUAACUUAUCACAUGUGGUCAGGUGUAGAAUUUUCCCUUUAUUGCAUCAUGUCAUUGGUCAAAACAUUUGGGGAUUUGGGAGCAAUUCAGAUUUGAGAUUUUCAGAUCAGGCAUCCUAACCUGCAAUAAAUUGGUAUUGAUGAAGAAGCACAAGUAAAAUUCCAGUUUGAGAACUAUUAUUCAUAACAGCAAUGAGAAAAAGUAGAGCACUAGAUCACAAAUUGUAGGGGCCACCUGUGGGACCCUGGGAAAAUCAUUGUACUUCUCUCAAUUUCUUUUUCUUCCUUCAUCACUGAAUGGUCUGGGGAAGACUACCCAAGAGGCUCCUUACUAAGAAAAGUCAAUGACCCUAUAAGGAUUUCCAGCCAUGUAAAGCAGAUAAGAAAGUUCAGAUGUUCUACCACCUCUACUGCCCAGGGCAGGGAGAGCAAGUUAUCUAUGAUUUAAUGCUCACUGGGAAGAAUUUCACAAGGUUGUAUGGGGAUGUGCUGAAAAGAGAAGAAGGACAGGGCAGCUGUAUGCUAAAGUUUUGCUGGGAAUUUUAUGCAGAGAAGGAAAUGAGGUCUCCUGAAUUGCCAGUUAUUAAGGUACAAAAGGGAUCAAAUGCUGUGUUUGAAUCAGUUCAAUACCGAGCUCUAAGGUGCACAACCUGCUCUGGCUCUUUCUAUAUCCUGCCCAUAGUGGUGAUGUUUGACAUCUUUCCCUUCAGGCAAUGCCAUCAGAGGAGGUAAUGGAUGGUAACAGCAUAUUUGAGAUGGAAAGAGAAAGAGUUCACAUACUAUUCAAUGGAAAUACUUUAAAGGCAUUUCAAGGAGGAAUCUGAGAAAUAAUUACAAAGUUUGAAAAGAAAGCCUUUAAACUUUGAUCUGACUUUUUUAUGUAAAGCAAUUCGGAACAUAAUUUUUGAAGUGCUAAGCCACAAAUUCAAUGUCUGGACCUGACUGCUUUCAUUUGUGUCUUGGGGCUUCUACUCCUCCAAAAACAAACGUUUAAAAAUUUAAGAUGAUUUUUCCACAGAAAUUAAUGCAUAUAGCAUUAGUUGGUCAGCUCCCAUAAAAAUUACAGCAGCAUAGAAUAGCUGAGAUUAAGGGCUAGAUUUAAAUCAUUCAAGGGCCCAGUUAAUAUCAGUGCCUAAUUAAGAAAUCUGUAACAUUGGUAGAGAAAAACUCUAUCAAGGUGUGAUAGGAAUUUUUCCUUUCAUUUGCUAUUGGGGAUUUUAAUGGGAAUGUAUCCUACAUGGACUUUGAUAGUCACAGGACUAGUUCUCAAAUUAAAAUGGAGUUUCAAAUCUGAGCAUGGGGACAAACUAAUUUAUCUGAAAGGUAAUAAAGGAAGUUCUUACCUAAAAAUAAAUGUCAUAGAGUGCCUUAAUUUUAGAUUACAUUUCUCCUUAAUCUUUUAAACCUGAAAUUCUUUGUGGUUCAUAUGUAUGAGCCUUGCUCCUUGAAGGUAGAUGAUGGGCAUUAUUCCUUCUUUUGCAUGUGCAGUGCCUAGGUUCCCAUUAAAUGUUUAUGAAAUAGCAGAAUAUAAAUAUUUUGUUAGUUUUUAAGAGUUAUUGCUGAGCACGGUGCUCUGUCAUGGCACAUUUUCUCUCCAAUAAGUAGAUGGGUGGGUUGCUUGUGUACCAACUAAGAAGCACUGCAAAGGCAGGUUAUAAACUGAAUUUAGUCAUGCUUGUCCAUCCAUUAAAAAUUGAGAAACUUCAUCUUCAGUUUAAAUUUCUGGAUUCCUUUGAAAUUUCUGAAGUUGUGGCACAGUUUGGUUCAUAGAUCCCCACAAUAGCAAUUGGCUAAGGCCCAGGAGUUGCUAUUCCCAUUAAACAGGGCUCCUUUUCUGCUAGUCACCAUUAAUAAAAUGUGAUUGGUUCCAUGUUGGGUUGCAUGUGGAAGCAGAUAAAUGCACUGAAUCCCCUGCAUAAGAUUCUAGGCUGACUUCGCUUUUUUAUUUUCUAAACUGGCCUGUGGAAUAGGCCCUGCUUUAGUUUGCACCUGGAGCAUCCCACAAAGGUUCACUUGUUAAAGGCUUUAUUGUCAACUUGUGGUGCUAUUGAAAGGUGCUGGAACCUUUAAGGGGUGGGGCCUCGUGGAAGGAAGUUAGGUCACUGGUGGCAUGCCUCAAAGGUGAUAUUGGGACCCCAGUCCUUUCUUUAUCUUUCUUUUGCUUUCCAGGCACCAUGAGGUGAACAAUCCCCCUUCGCUUGUUGAAACCAUGAUGUAUGAUGCUGCCAUGUGGCCCAAAGCAACAGGGCCAAGUGACCAUGUUCCAAAACCUUUGAAACUACCAGCCAAAAUAAAUCUUUCCUCCUUAAAAGCUGAUUUUCUUAGCUAUUUUGUGAUACCAAUGGAAAACUGAGUAACAUAGGCCCUCAAGAUUGGGUUACAGCAUUUGGUAUGCAUUUCUAUUGCUGUUGGACUUGAAUGAGUUAAAGAUCUAAGGGUGAGCUUAAUUGUUUUUUCCCAGCCCCACACACAAAAAAAGAAGGCAAGACUGUAAGUACUGGACUUGGAGCGAAGCUAGUGUGCAUAUUCCUAGUACUUCAAUGUGGCUCCAGUGGGAAUUGAGCAGGAUCCAAGCACUAAAUAACCCUAAUGAUAUCGGGUAGGAGCUCAUCAGGGAGCUGUUCAAGAGUUUGUCAGAGCAUAUUAAAAUACAAUACAUUCACAUAAUCAAAAAAGGUACAUCAGUCCAUCUGUCUAUACAUUCCUUUUGAUAUUAACUUUAUCCAGGGACUUUUCAAAAUUACAUCAUCUACCCAUACCCUCUUCUUUAGUGUAUAAAAAUGUGGACAGAAUGAAAAGAAAAUCAGAAUAAUGUACAUUGGUGUAAGUCCUGUAAUUGAAAUCAUUAUUGCUUAAGACACCGUUGCUUUAAUCAGCUCUAUCAUAAAUCAAUGCUUUGCACUAGUGAAGGUUUAAAAUAAAGUGCUGUUAAACAAAUUGGGCCUCUUAAAAGGCAUGAUGCAAUUGGAAAGACACUGAAAAUGAAUAAAAAAGUGCUUUCUGAAUUGAUACGCUGGUUCUAGCAUUUUAUCUUCCACUUAAUUUAAAAAAAAUAUAUUACCUGGUCCUUUCUUAGAAAUUACAUAUUGGAGGUCUAUAAUGGCCAAGACUUUAACCCAUUAAAAAAAUUUACUCCCAGGAACAGUUAAUAUUUGACAUUUAAUUGCUUUUUCUUGUUGGAGGAAAAAAAAAUAUGUUUCUUUCCUUCCUUUCUCGAUUGACUUUCCAAAAAUCACCUUCUGAGCUAUAAAGAUGGAAAAGAGUAAUUGAUUUCAAAAACUCAAGUGCAUUUAUGUGGGUAUGCAUACACAUGUGUGUGUAUGUAAAUAAUAUCUCCAAAGUAGCAGGAGCUGGUUCUUCCCUCCCAACAACUCUGCAAGGCAAGGUGUUAUGACUGCUGUUUGAUAGCUAUGGUGACAGAGGUCUAGAGAGGCUACAGAGAAAUUCAGACAUGAGAGUCUUUAUUCCAUUACUACUUUGCUGGCUUCUGGGUGUACUUCACACCCUGGCAUAGAGAUGUUUAUGGAGCCAUGACAGAAUGCCAUCUCAAUGGUUCCUAUCUAUCUAUCUUCAGGCAGCUAAUUUUUUUCAGCUUAUAAUGGGAUUUAUCUUAUAAUAUAAUCCCAUCUACAAAUGUUGAUGGGCAACUAUGAUUUGAGCUUUAAUGUGAGUCCUCUAUUUAAUGGAGCUAGGAGAAGCCCUGGAACCACUUUAUAUCUAUAAUAUUGACUUAAAAGAGAUUUAUCAUUGUAGUUUUGUCUGGAUGACCCAAGGAGGUUAGUCCUCUUACCUUUGGAGCAAUGCCUAUACGGACUUCAAACAAAUUUUCUGGCCCCUCCUCAUGACUUGUUUUAAGACAUAGAGGAGAUCAGUUGGAAAUUGGUGUGGAAACAAUGAGGAAAACCAUUUGUUUGGUUUCCUGAAGUUAGAAAAUUUCCAUUUCAACAUCAUUGGCCUCUCCCCUUUCUGGUGCAGCAAAUUCACUACCAAAGGUCAAAGUGUUCUCUUGCAUUCUUUUAUUUUUUUCUCUUCCCACAAAACCAGGUAGUAUUUAGUCUCUUGAAAAGCUGCACAAACCAACUGUUCCUCUACAGAUUAUCCCUUUCAGAGCUCAGGUGAUAUGCCUCAUUGGGUUACACCUCCUGUGACUUGUGGUCAGAUGGGGCUGUGUCAUUCUGCAUUAUUCUAUCUUGCAGGAAAAUAUUUACAUGUUGGCUCCACCAGGUCCCAUUUCCCCUGGGAAUGAUUUUGCAUGCACCAUCUUCACACUGGUGGUUGAAGUUGAAUCACUUGCCUUCAUGGGACCAAUGGGCAUCUGGCAGAAAACCAGAAAGUCAAUCUCCCCCUCACUCAGCUGGAAAACAAGUUUACAACUGUAGGAUAACAUGUUUCUGAGAUAUGGAGUGAAAAUACUCUGAGAAGGCUCUUGGAAGGAAACUGAAUAGGGAAUGGAAAUUUGCACUAUUCACAACCCCCCCUCCCCCACCGCCAUUAUAGAAACAGAAAAGCUUAAGUAUGCCUUUUAAACAUAUUUUCCCUUCCUUUUUUCUUUGUCUUGUCUAUUUCGUAAAAUUAUAAUUAAAAUGAAUAAUAAUUCUCAUUUUUCACAAGGAGUGGUGAAAUGGACACUCUUAUACUUCUGUGAUAGGGUAUACUGGGAAAAUUCUUUUGGAAACUCAUUCAUAGUGUUUAUCAGGAGAGUCAUGAAACAUUCAUGAGAACAAUUAUGGCUUAGAUGUGAGGUGUCCCCAUGAAGCUUAUGCAUAAGACUAUGCAAGAAAGUUUAGAAAUGAAAUGAAUGAGUUAUAACAGCUUUAACCUAAUUGGUGCAUGAAUCCACUGAUAAGGAUUAACAGGGCAGUAACUGUAGGCAGGUGGGGAGUAGCUGGAGGAAGUGGGUCAGUGAACAUGUGGCUUUGGGUUUACAUUUUGUCCCUGGUAAGCAGAGCUUUCUCUGCUUCCUGGUGCCAUAUGCCUAUCUUUUUUUUUUUUUUUCCUCCACUGUACUUUUCUGCCAUGAUGUUCUGCAUAAUACUGGGCCCUGAGCUAUGAAGUUAGCUAUCUAUGGACGGAAACCUCUGAAACCACGAGCACCAAAUAAACUUUUUCUUCUCAAAUUGUUCUUGUUAGGUGUUUUGGUCACAGUGACAAAAAAGCUGACUAAAACAAGAAUGAUGUAAUAAUAAGGAAACAGGAAAUGCACGGCGAAUGCUUAAACAUAUAUAUCAAAAUGUGCAUCAUCAUCAUAAUAGAAAACAUUUAUGUUCUUAACAUGUGACAGGCUCUGAGCCAAAUGCUUUUAGGCAUUGUCUUUAGGUUUAAUCUGUACAUGGGUUUUGUGUUGUAGGUAUUAUUAUACUUCUAUUUUACAAAUGACAAAAGAGAGAUGUAGGGGGGUUAAUUGGUUUACCUGAAGUCACCUUGCUAGUGUGAAACUUCAACCUCAUCCCAACUAUAGGGUUUUCACUUUUAAAAUAACUUGGAAUUCCUUAUUCUAUGUGGUUAAUUUUAAGGGAAAAAACAUUAAUAACAAAAAUGUAAGCUAUAUUCUAUAAAAACCACAUGAAAAGUAAACAGGAAAUCUUAGACCACAAGGAAAUAGCUUAAUUUGUAAAAGCUCGUCUGUAACCAGUUAAUAAAAUGAUUUGUUGCUAUCUGAAGCAAAUUAAAUGUUUCAGGUCUUUCCUCUGGAUGAGAGUCAUAUACUAUAGGAAUGGUUGUUAGCUAAGAGAAUCUAAUUGUUAUUCUGCCAAUUUAAAAAAGGUCCAAAGAACAAAUCUUGCAUGUAGGUCCAAAUGACUUUGAAAGGAUUUCAUUCAGAUUCAUUUGGGAAUUUCCUUUUGGAAUGGGACCUAGACCAAGAUUUCUUAGCUUAUUUUGUAUGAGAAUGUAUCUGAAAAUAUUAAUAGAAUCUGUGGGGUUUUUUUCCUGUUCAGAAAAACCUCUAUAUUAACACAUCUUGAUGGAUAUAUGUUGACUUUCAUUCAAGGAUCUUAGAAUUUUUUUAGAUUGGUGGCUGGCUUGAGGGAUUAAAUUAAAAUUUCCCUUUCUGUCUUGGCUUGCAGACUGUUUUUCAUAAUACAGUUUGGUGGAUGUUCUUUUUCUAAUAAGUCAAGCAUGCACACUUUCUUCAGAAUAUUGUCAAUACUUGGACGACUAAAGAUUAUAAAUUAAGUGACUAUAAUGAAUAAUUUAGUUUCAACAUUUUCAUUAAUAUGAUAUAAUGUUAUUAUAGAACUUGUGUCCAGAUACUUGGCUAAAAACUGCCUCUUUUUUUUUUUUGUUAUCCUAUUUAGGGUUAAAAAAAUGUAUGGCAUACAUUACCAAGAAUCAAAGAUUGUGCCUGGCAGCAUAAUUGACUUUGUGACAGAGAGAAGCUGAGCAAGGUGAGUAGACAGAAUUAUGAAUAGCAGUUUUUCUUAGCACAGCUGUAGAGAUAUAUAUUUUGAUAAACACAUAUGUAUUAAGUGGAUAUGCAUAAGGCAAAGAGUUAGAUGAACUCAGAAAAUGGGUGGGUUUUUGCUUUUGCAUUAUAUGCAGUGCUCAGAGAGCCUUCAAGUACCGUUGGCUGUGCUACUAAUAAGAUUAUAGCCAGAGCAUGCUUUCAUUCCAUGAAAUAUUUUCAUCGACUAGAAGAGGGAAAUUAUUUUUACCCUUUCUGAAAUCGAAAAUUUCUCAGGUUCUGUUCAGGAUUGUUCAAGAAGGAGUCAGAAAUAUCAUGUUUAGAGGUCACUGAGCCAUCUACCCUAGGAACUUCCCCUCGGCAGUGGUCUCUCUCUAUGUUACAGAAGACAGCAAAAAUAUAAGUCAUCAUACAUCUGACCAAUUAUACAAUGCUGUAUCAACAGGGGGAAAUUCCUUCCUCACUUCAGCUGGUGAACAGUUAUGCCCUGGAGCUCAGGACGGACAUGCCUUGUAACUUUUUAACCUAGUUAGUGUAACUGCCAAUAUUAUUCCUAUUCAUAUAAAUGUCUAAUCCUUUUUUGAAUCUUGCUAGACUAUUUGCCUCAAUAAUAUCCCGCGGCAGUGAAUUCCACAGGUAGAUUAUACGCUGCUUUAAAAAGUAUUUCCUUUUAUUCAUUUUAAAUUUCUUGCCUUUUAACGUCACAAAAUGGCCCUUGCUCUUGCAUUAAGUGGCAGGGGAUAAAAGCAUGUCAAAUUAAGCUUUAAUUCUCCCAAGCACUCUCUUUGCUAUUAUUAAAACCUUAUCUUCUAUAUAUACUUUCUAUUUUAGCAACUGUAAUCUUGAUUAAAUGAGAUGAUUUAAGUUAGUGGUUUUCCACUACUUUGGACACAUCAUGGGUGCCAGAAAAGAACCCUUAUUAAUAUUCAAUGUCAUUUAUUGGGCAAAUAUUUACUGUGCACCUACUUUUGAAGGAAGUGUUUUAAUUUUGGAGAGAUGGCCUUGAGUAAGACUUAUUUAGAAGGACCUAAUUUUCUAGAGAAGGAGACACACAGUAAAAUACUGAAUAAGUAUUUGGAAUGCCUGGUUUGGGAUGAUAUUAAGUACAAUCAGCCCUCCAUAUCCAUGGAUUCUGCAUUCUCAGCCUCAGCCAGAAUUUAUUUCUUGUCAUUAUUAUCUAAAUAAUACAAUGUAAUAACUAUUUACGUAGCAUUUACAUCGUAUUGGUUUUUCUAUAGAGGUUUAUAGCUCAGAUGCAAAUUAUAGACCAUUUUACAUAAGGGACUUGAGCAUGCUCAAAUUUUGAUUUCCAUGGGGUUUCUGGAACCAACCCCACAUGGACACUAAAGGAAAACUAUAUUGUGGGAAAAAUUUAAAAGUUCCUGGGAAAGGAUGUCAGGGGCCACAUUAGUUUACACCGUCAGAGGUUGACUUUCUGAAAAAGGGAUAGUUGAGACUGGCCACCAGUGAGUCAUUUAUGUGAAAUAUCCAUGAAGGUGAGCUCCAGGUUCCAGGGCAAUGCCCAGUAGUUGAGGUUCAAUCAUUUGUUGAGGCCUGGAUGAGUCAAGUUUGAGAAGGAAAAUCUUAGUUUCAGAAACUAUCCAGUCAGUGCUCAACCAAUCCAGGAGGAGUGUACCUUGUACUGCUGUUUUAACUCCAAAGAUUAUCAGAGUAGAAAAAGCAAGGGAUAUAGUUAGUAAGCCUCUUGUUUUAAGAUCCAAUCAUGUUCCCUGGGAACCAGCUGUUUGACCUUGGGUCAAUCACCUAAUUGCUCUCAUGCAAAGUAUUCUUUACAAAAAUGGGCAUAUAACUUCUUUUCCUCAUGGGGAUUGGAGGAGUGGAGGUAAGAUUAUGUGGAAGCUCUUUAUAAGCUGCAAAGGGUGUGAAGAUAUUGGUUCUUUUUGCAGGAUUCGGGUUUUGCCAGCACUCUGUACUUGGGUCUCUCAUUCUUUUUUUCCUUCCAUCCUUGUUUUCCGAGUACCCUGACACAUCCCUUGCCUCUGCUCAAAGUCCACCAGUGGCAUCCAUGGUACUUAGCUUUCUCUCCCAGAGGUGGGUUAAACAGGGUAGAUUUUCCUAAGGGCUUUAAAAAUGGAAUCAGAUGGAGAAGUCACUUGUUGAUACUGUGGGAUGGAUAUGGAUUUAAAAUAAUGAUUCCUUUUUGUUUUUGCUUUUGUGUGUUCUUAUUUAUUGCUCUGUCUUCUGGGGCCCAGUCAACAAAACUUCUCUGUACGAAGACAGAGUCCCUGCCUGAAGUUUGAAGAGAGUCUUCCCCAAAUCAACACUGGUUAACAUAAUCUCAUUCCCUGUGUUCAACUUCCCUCUCUGCUCCAGAAUGGUGGAUACACACCAUUUCUCACAUUGCCUCUUGAAGUUAUUCUUUUUAAUUGCCCCUUUCUUUCUUUUUUUUUUUUUCCUGUUUAGCCAAUUUAAAAUAGAGGCAUGUGCAGCUCUGCAUAAUAAUGUGUUAUAAAGGCAUUUUAAGGAAUAAAUUAUUAGGAUUGUUUACAUGCAUGGUUCAAAUUUACUGGCAAAUUGCUUAGGACUCGGUUUUAUGAUGUAGCUGCCAGUUAGGCUCCUUCUGAAUAAGACUCUGAAAUAGGAGAAGUCGCCCUUUGCUGUCCCUCACCGGCACUUCCUCUGCCUUGUUCCUGCCCUUUCAACACCUCCCUCCUCUUCCACCCGCAAAUAACUCUGUGGAGCUGUCAGGCUUUUUGCACCUUAAUGUGAAGACACUUUGUGGGUCCUCCCCAGACCUGCCCCCAACAAAGGUGAGGUGUGCAAAGGAAUAAAUCUUCAAUGGUAUAAUUUUAGAUGCUGUGGCAACUGGGAAGGGCAGCUAUUUUUGGCUGUUGGGCUUUCUCCUUGACCUGAGAUGAUACCGCUUUGCCUGCUGCAGCGUGGCCAGCCAACCCUGCUUGUGGUCCUUUUAGUGACAUGUCUGCCGUUCCUGGGAGUGGCUUCUUUCUUUCCUCACUGAGCAUUUCUCUGCUCAUUUGGAGUUCUGUGUCUUUGUGCAAGGGCAUGCAUCUAUUGACAUGUACCCAUGUUGGCUUGUCACAGGCUGAUACUCCAAGGUGGUGAUCCAACAUCUCUGGAUGCAAAGUCAGAGGGAACUGACUCCCUUCCACAUAGGAGGUGGAGAAAAAUUGCUGGUCCAGUUUCUGUGUAUCCCUCAGCCUCCAUGCUUUAUCAGCUGCUCAGGGACGGUUGAGUGAGUCACUGCUUCUCUGAGCCAGGCAGGUCUCCAGGCCACAGUGUCCGAGCCUUCCCACCUAGUCUGCCUCACUGAAAGUUGUGUGCUCACAGCGGCUCUUCUGACCACCCUGCUUGUUCUCUUCCCACUCAAGCUCCUGAUGCAGCUGCUGACUGCAGACCCCCUGUACUGCCUGGGGAAGGGAGUCCGACCCUCCUGUAGCAGAUGGGCGGAAUAGCUACAAGAAGAUUUGAAGGGGGCCAAAACUAACAGUGCUUCCAGAUGAGGGUGAUAUUAGAGCCAAGAUCAUCACUGGGGCAGGGUAUCUUGUUCUUAGUUUUACAACCCAAAAAAGUACACAGAAGAUUCAAAGAUCAUUUGGGAAGGAGGAAUAAAAUCAGGGGAAAAAAACAAAAAACGACAACAGGAAAAUGGGACCAGUUUGAAAAAAAAAAAAAAAGAAUUGAAUUUCUUUAUUCCCAAAGACAGAAAACAGAGACCUUUUUUUUGGUAUGGAGAGAGCACUGGAUCUCUGAAUGGUAGUUCUCUUCUCCAUUUCCCCUAGCUAACAAAGGAGAGAAUUCUAGAUUUGGAGAGAAAAAGGGGCAAAGGAUGAGAGCAAGAAAGGGUGGGGGAGAGGGAAUGAGAGUAUAAGGAGAAUCUGACCAAGGAACAGAAAAUAAGGGAGGAUGUAACAAAAAGGAAGAAAACGAUCAAGAAAAUGUUGUCUUUCCUUAUCUGCUACAGAAAUAAAUUUAGUAGAAAUUUAUUUGGAACCAACCAUGUCUGGUUCUCUUAUCUUUCUGCAGUGCUGAUCAGCCUAAAAUUUAUUAAAAUUGCUGAAAACCAUAGCAAUCAAUUUGUACUGAUUCAGAGUGUUGACUGGGAUCAGCUGGGUGGCUCUCAGGCAGUCUAUGGGGUCUGAUGGUGGCUGAGACUGGAGCCAUCUCUAAGGCUUCCUCCCUCUGUGUCCUGUGGUUGAUAUUGGUCCUUCCUGUGACCUCAGAUGGACAGCUGCAUGAAGUCAUUGCACGUGGUCUGAGCCUCCUCACAGCAUCUCAUGCUAGCCCUUCUUACAUGGCUGCUCAGGGGUCCAAUGAUGAGUGUUCCAAGAAAACAAGGUAUGAGCUGAAUCUUCCUUUCCAGUCAUACGUUCUAUGGUCCUCCAGUUACUGAAGUAUGCUCAGACUCCUAGGUAGGGUACCAGGAUGCCUUCUCUGGAUUUAAGGAGUGUUAAAGAACCUGUGGAUCUGACUUAAAACUGCGAAAAUGUCCAAUCACAGUGUCAGAUGCUUCCAACAUCUAACUUCCAGCCGUUUCUGUCUAGUUGGAGCUGUAAAAUUCCACCAAAGAUCCAGUGGAAAGUAUUGAAGUAUCCAUUUGCCAGGGGAGGGAGGUGAUAGAAGAGCGAAUACCAAGCAGGGCUCAAGAUGAACACUGCAUGCUCAGAGAUCACAGGCAGAGUGGGUAGGAAGACGGGUGGUCACUUAUCACUGGAGAGCACUGAAGGCCAGCAGGAUACAGUGACACAGUGGCCAACAUCCUCUAACUCUGAAGCGGGGUGUUGCCAGUUUUAUUCACUCCUAUGUGUUUGUUCUCCAUAACUUACCUGCUCAUUACCUCUUUCCUUCUGCCUCACCUGGCUCCUACCAACUGUUCUUUCUUUUCACUGAAAUAUUCUGUUACGGUCUGAAAACUCUUCUGCAUCCUUCAUACCCCUGGGUCAUGACUUUAUCCUUUGGGCCAUAAAGUCCCAUCCCCUUCCCUACUUUUUUGCUGCUCCAUUACCAUCUUUCAGAUCACUGAACUUCUCUCUGCUUUUCUUGUCCAUUCCUCAGUUGAUUACCUGAAACAGGCCUUUUUAUUUUGUUUUCCUCCUUUUUGGCCACUGUCUCCUGCCUUUUAAAUCAUAUCCUGUAUUUGACAUCUCAUGCCUUUCUUCCCUGCUCUGAUCUAUCUUAUUAUAGGAGCCUGUUGCCCAGCACAGAAUCACAGGACGUCGGAUCCAGGUGCACAGAAUACCCGGCACCUCCGCCAGAGACACACAGCCGUCUUCCUGGGGUUGUGGAAGGGGGGCAGUUGUGGCUUGCACCGGGCCAAGGAUUUUCAGGUGAGAUUUGCUGUCCCAUUUCUCACCUUGCUUUGGUAAGCAUUUCCUACAUUCCAUCAACACUAAAAUUACUUUUCUCUUCAUCUGGGCUUUGAAUAUCC